GAAGAGCAGAGCCAAUCUACAUCACAACCUGCCCACGAGACUCCAACUCAAAAGAAGGUUCCAUCUCAAACAUACGCUUUAUCAACAUCUCUGCAACUUCUGAAAAUGGCGUCUUCUUGUCGGGUUCCAAAGCUGGACUCCUCAGCAACUUGAGAUUCCAGAAUGUGAAUUUCACUUACAGAAGAUGGACCAAUUUUCCAGAUGAUUUAGUAGACUACAGACCAGGAUGCCGGGGACUUGUCAAACACAGCCCAGCCGGUAUGAUCAUGGAACACAUUGAUGGUUUGGAGCUGGAAAACGUUAAUAUGAGAUGGUCUGGUGUUAUCCAAAACAAGAGGUGGAACAACCCUCUAGACUUCCUGCCUUCAACUGUGAAUAACAUUUCUUUCCUUAAUUUCCAAUCUGGUUCCGAUUCAGUGAGGGAGAUCAGAGCCCCGAGGGAAGGAUCUAUAGUUUAAAGCUAUUCUCAGCUUCAAUUUUUUGUGAAGUAUAGUCAGUGGUGCUUUCAUUUCACUGUACAGGGCAGAUUCUGCUUGUGUACUGAUCCAAGUUGAAAACAUUUUGUGUUGUAUAAAUAAAUGAUUUUGUUUUUCAAAAUUAUUUAGUGAGAUGAUUUUAGAAUAUAAUGUCUUUACUAAAUUUAAAAACAUUUAUGACAGGCAAGCCUCUUAUUGCUCCAAGCUAAAAAACCUUUCAUUUAGACUGUUGAGAGUGUGCCCAGACAAGUGCUAGGCAUAGUUCCCCGAGCAAGUUAAUCAACUCUCGGUGGAAGAGAAAAUGAUCUGGAAAAUCACCAGCUUGAUUUUCCAUCGUCCCAAACAAGUGCUUUCUUCCAUCUCCAACCCAUUUAGCCGCCAACGAAUCCUCCUCUCCACAUUCCCGGCAAAUUCACCAGAUUUGAAAACCUUAUGCUCCAACCGUCAACUAAAAGAGGCCCUGUUGGAAAUGGGCAUUCAAGGCCUUGAAGUGGAGUUUCAAGGCUACGAUUCAGUCUUAACUGAGUGUAUAAGCCAAACAGCCAUUAGAGAAGGCCAAAGGGUCCAUGCCCAUAUGAUCAAAACCUGUUAUGAACCGCCUGUGUACCUUAGGACUAGGUUGAUUGUUUUGUAUAAUAAGUGUCGGUGUUUAGGUGAUGCAAGGCGGGUGCUCGAUGAAAUGCCGGAAAGGAAUGUAGUCUCUUGGACUGCGAUGAUCUCAGGUUAUUCUCAGAGGGGUUAUGCCUCAGAAGCCUUGCAUCUUUUUGUAGAGAUGCUAAUGUCAGGUACUUUUUCCCUUUUUUUUUUUUUUUUUUCUUUUUUAAUUUUUUUAUUUUAUGUUCCAUUUAUGAUGCGCGAUAUGUUGGAGGAAAUAUCAGUGCAAGUGUGGAAGAAGAAUAACAUGAUUUCUUCUUUCCAUUUGGAAAAAUGAUAAGAACUUGUCAAAAUAAUGACUUUUUUUCUUUCUCUACGAGGGCCUGAUAUUAAUAGUCCAUCAAUUGGAUGAGCAUUUUUCUUAGCAAAAUAAUUGUAACUGGAUUCAUAAACCAGUCCCAAGUGGAGAUUAAUUGAAUCAUUAUAUUUAGUAGCUGGACAUAUUAUAAAAAUAUGUGGGGUAUUUGUCAACCACAGGGAAUGGUUCCAUUUUUUUUUCUGCAUAUCAUAAAAUUCUAUAUAAAGUGGUGUUAGACCUACAAUAAGAACACUUCUGCAAUCUAGAAGUGGUUAUUAUUGUUUGUAUUAAGUGGAGACAUUUUACAACUGCUAUUAGAUAGUUGUGUCUGCUAUGGCAAGAGAAAUGGAAUGAUUCUAUUUCCAUGGAUUUUCAGAAUCCCUCCUUGAGUAUAACUAAAAGUCCAUGAGGUAAUCUUAGAUGGGCAAGGUUGAUUUUUUUUUUGGUUCCUGCUAUAUAUACAUCAAAACUUGUUUGUCAUUGCUAUUAUGGUUUCUAAGUCCAGAUUGUAACAUGGAAUGAUUGCAGGUACAGCCCCUAAUGAGUUCACUUUUGCAACGGUGCUUACUUCUUGUACAAGCAGUUCUGGGUUUCAGCUAGGAAGGCAAAUCCACUCUCUCGUUAUCAAGACCAGUUUUGAAUCACAUAUAUUUGUUGGGAGCUCACUUCUGGACAUGUAUGCGAAAGCUGGUAAGAUUUGUGAAGCUCGUCGAGUUUUUGAUGGUUUGCCAGAAAGGGAUGUUGUUUCUUGUACUGCUAUAAUCUCAGGCUAUGCACAGCUGGGUCUUGAUGAAGAGGCAUUAGAUUUAUUCCGUAGAUUGCAGAGGGAGGGAAUGAGGUCAAAUUAUGUUACUUAUGCUAGUGUUUUAACUGCAUUAUCUGGACUUGCUGCAUUGGAUCACGGCAGACAAGUUCACAGUCAUGUUCUUCGGGCCAAACUGCCCUUCUAUGUGGUUCUUCAGAAUUCUCUGAUCGAUAUGUACUCAAAAUGUGGAAGCCUCACAUACUCAAGAAGGAUCUUUGAUAGCAUGCCCGAGAGAACUGUCAUCUCAUGGAAUGCCAUGCUUGUGGGAUAUAGCAAACAUGGUCUGGGAAGAGAGGCUGUUGAGCUUUUCAAAUUGAUGAAGGAAGAAAAUAAAGUCAAACCUGAUAGCGUCACUUUUUUGGCUGUUCUAUCUGGUUGCAGCCAUGGAGGGAUGGAAGAUAGAGGGCUUGAAAUUUUUUAUGAGAUGGUGAACCAGAAAGAUGGAUUUGAGCCAGAGAUUGAGCAUUAUGGGUGUGUUGUUGAUUUGUUUGGGCGUGCAGGCCGCGUGGAAGAGGCUUUUGAAUUUAUCAAAAAGAUGCCUUUUGAGCCAACUGCUGCUAUUUGGGGUUCACUUUUAGGUGCUUGUAGGGUUCACCAGAAUGUUCACAUUGGGGAAUUUGUGGCUCGUCGACUCUUAGAAAUUGAGUCUGAAAAUGCUGGGAAUUAUGUUAUUCUUUCCAAUUUGUAUGCUUCUGCAGGGAGAUGGGACGAUGUAAGAACGGUCAGGGAGUUGAUGAAGGAGAAGGCUGUGAUAAAGGAGCCUGGGAGAAGUUGGAUUGAGCUUGAUCAAACUCUUCAUACUUUUCAUGCAAGUGAUCGAUCCCAUCCAAGAAAGGAAGAGGUAUUUGCCAAGGUGAGGGAGUUAUCAAUCAAGAUCAAGGAAGCUGGUUAUGUUCCUGAAUUGAGUUGUGUUUUGUAUGAUGUGGAUGAUGAACAGAAGGAAAAAAUACUCCAAGGUCACAGUGAAAAACUGGCAUUAGCUUUUGGGCUGAUUUGUACACCUGGAGGAACACCAGUCCGGAUCAUAAAAAACCUUCGGAUUUGUGUUGAUUGCCACAAUUUUGCCAAGUUUUUGUCAAGGGUUUAUGGUAGAGAAGUGUCUUUGAGGGAUAAGAACCGCUUCCAUCAUAUCGUUGGAGGAACCUGUUCUUGUGGAGAUUACUGGUGAGCUUUGACGAUUCUUUGACAGGUGAAUCUUCUCUGUUUGUACAUUAGUUUCUGGUUUCAGCAUAUCACAUUAUUGUUUCCUAUAGAUUAUGAGAUGAGCAGACAAACCAUAUCUCUGAAACAGCAAGAUGGAACUCAAUAUACUGACAUAUGCCAUGAGAAAUGAGUUGUCUUCAAUAACAAAGAGUUACCAAGUGGAGAAGCUUUCAGAUUCUUUCUGAUUGGAGAAAUUUGGUUUUGAUGAAUAUAAGACACAUAAGACAAACUGCAGUUUCCUGGUGAGAAGAUUCUAAACUGGACCUUGAGGCAGUAAAGGGUGAUUAAGAUCAUCCUGCUGCAGAUGAUUUUUCUUGUUUCUAAUGCAAGGUUUUCUGAGAAAACUCCAUGAUCUUGGCUUGAUCAUUGCAGCAACUUGGAAGCCCAGACAUCAGUUUUGCAGAUAAAGAUAUGAAGAGCAGCAUAAUUAUGUUGAUGCAGGCUAGAUUUUUUGUUUUCUCUAAAUUUCCCAGCAUCCAAGCAUUUUUAAAAUACUGAGCUUUUGUGUAGGAUCCCAGUGGAAAUGGUUGGGAAUGUUAGCGGUUAGAGGAGAAGUAGAACGAAAUCAGUAUGAUAUGAUCUUGUAGGCAGUGAAUUCUGUCAAAAUUUGAAAUUUCAAAUAAAAUUGCUCUAUAACAAUUAUAAAACAUUAAGAGUAUAUUUGGUUCAAGAAAAUUUGAGUCAAUGGAAAAAAAAAGAAAGAGAAAAUUAGUAGAAAAGAACAAAUAGAGAAAAAUAAAAAUUGAUUUAGACUAUAUUUGGUUUUUGUAAAAAUUUAUAUAUUUUAAAUUAUUUAAUUUUUAUAUAGAAGAGUUAAAAAAGAAAUGAGUUUAAAGUAUUAUAUACCAAUAAUUUGUUAACUUUAAAUAUAUUUUUUACUUCCCUUCUAUUUUUCUUUACUUUUAUUUUUCCUCUCUAUUUUUUUCCCUAAUCUUUUCCCUUAAAUUUUUCAAAAAUAAAACAUAGUUUUUUUAUAUGUUAUUAUAACUUUUUUAUUUAUUUAUAAUUUAAAAAUAUGUAAUUUUUUAAUUAAUUUUAAAUAAAUUUUAAUUUAUUUUUAUAUAUUUUUGUUAGUAUAAUCUAGAGAAAAUCAUUUUUCUUAAUAUAUUUUUUUUGAAGCUAAACAUAACCUAGGAGUUUUCUAUUGGUUUUUCCUUGAUACUAUCGGGGAUGUAAUUAAUUUAAUAAUUUAAUAUGAUGAAAUAAUUUAAUUUAAAGAAUUAAAUAUAUUUAAUAAAAUAAUUUAAUAUUAUAACUCACAGAAUAAAUCAUCUUUUCUAAAUUCCAAAUAUUUUUUUCUUUUUUCUUGCUUCUCUCUAAACAUCUCUAUUUAAUAUCAAUCAAUUAAACAUAAAUAUAUAAAUUUAAUAGUUUUAAAAAAACUUUUAAAAAAUAAAAACUAAUAAGGUCAAGUAUUUAUUUUUCUAGUUAGAGACUAGCGUAUUGGGGCUAACAUUGGAUUCGCUCGAGGAAUUACUGGUUUAGUUAAAUAUCUAAUACAUUUUUAGAUUGAAGAAGUCAUUUUUUGAUAAGAGACUAUGAGUUUUUGUGGUUUGCAUGCGUCCUAGUUAGAACUUUUAAGGGCCAAUGUAAUUCAUUACAUUGAAUUUACAUUAUAGGCGAAAAAAUUAUCAUCUCCAUGAAUUUAAAUCUUGAGUUAUUGCGAAAAAAAAUAAAAAUGAAACAAUGAUAUUAUGGAAGUAAAUAUUGUGGCACACCUUUAGCCAAUUUGAUUUGAUGGAGGGAUAAACUAGUGGCUCUUUCAUUGUGUAGACAAGGUUGGUUAGAUUAACCCUUUUUUUUUUUGUAUAUUAUAUAUUCACCUAUGCCGCUUUCUUGAUUGCCUCCACAUCACGCAAAUUUAGUUAAUUAUUAUUAUUUUUUAAUGUGUUGUAUUUACUAUAAUCUCAUUUCUUUCUAUGGAGAAGGGGUUCUAUUUAUAGUAAUAUUGAUCAUUUAUUCGACGUCAAAGACAUUUGGAAUUUCAUUUCUAAUGACACUUUUUUAGUUAGGGAUAAGAAUGUGGUAAAUUAUUUCAUAUAUUUUGAUAUUGAAAAUUCGAUGUUUGAGAUUGAUAACAAUCAAUCUUUUCAGAGUGAAUUAGAAUGUUUUUUAUUUUUAUUUAUUUUUUUUUUUAUAGUUAUCGAAAUGCUAGUUAUCUGAAUAAUGUAUUUAAGAGUAAUCAUCCCCACUAUGAUAGUUAUAUGCAUAAUACUAAAUAUAGUUGAAAUAAGUACAUUCAAAUAGAUAUAAGGUUUUAUUUAGUACACGAAAAUGCAUAUCAUGAUUCUUUUAUCUAUCAAUAAUUGCAAGCAUUGCAAAUGUAAGAAGUAGACAAUUAUCUUGACAAUAAUGAGUCAAACUAGUAUUUGUAGUGAAUCCCCGUGUUAAGUAGUUAUGUAUUAUAAUAGUAGUUAUGUAUUAUGAUAGGAACUCCAAUUCUCCGAUAAAUAUAACCUUUUUAAGCGUUAUUAGACUUAAAAUAGUUUUAUACUUUCCAUUAAAUUAACUUAAGAAUAUUGAAUUCUCAUCCUCAUCCAACACAACUUUAAAAAAAUGCAUGAUGCGAUUUUUAGAAUUUGAUAAACUUAAAUGAUAUUUAUUAUUAGAAGAAGGGGCCCAAAUGAUUUAAAAAUUAUUAUUUUUUUAAUAUCUUAGUUUUUUAAUUAAUUUUUAAAAAUCAUUAUACUUUUAACAUAAGUUUGUAACAGUUUUUAUCUUUUGUAUAAAAAUUGCUAUUUUUUUAUUUUUAAAAACUUAAAACAGAAAGUAUUAAAAAGUUCAUUUUUACAAAUAUUUUUCUUAUUUGAAACGACGUCGUUUCAGAAAUUUAAAUGUCCGCAAGAAGGAGGAGGAUAAUUAAAUAGAUCCUAACUAGCUGCUCCUCAGAAACGACGCCGUCUUGAUCUGACUGCAACUCCAGACAUUUGCCCUCGCUCUGUGUCUACUUUCUCAUCGACCAAACAUCGAAAUGCCUUCUGCUAAACCCUUCACCUCAGCCGCGGGCGCCCUCCGAAACCGCCUUCUCCCCAGCCUCCGCACAAGAGGCGGUGGCGAAUCAGGCCCAAGUCGGUGGACAAGCCCCGGCCAUCAGGAUCGCCCGAAUGGCUACCUAUUCAACCGGACUCCGCUACCACCCGGACAGACGCGACAAUGGGAAGAUUGGGAACUUCCUUGCUACGUCACCUCAUUCCUCACUGUCAUCAUCCUUGGCGUUGGCCUCAGUGCCAAGCCCGAUCUCACCAUCGAAACUUGGGCUCACCAGAAAGCUCUUGAACGCCUCGCUUCCGAGUCAUCUGGAUCCGAGUGAUUUCAAAUCGGGGCUCGGAUAAUUGGGCUUUCCCCACUCCAUCGAUGGGCUGGUCAUGGUGAUUAUGUUGAUAUGAUGUGGUUCAAUAAGGGUUUCAACUCUUGAAAAUUUGGUACCUUUUAGAGAUUUGUUUCUGUAUUUUUACUGUUAACUUUUGGAUUCUUUCAAGAAUCCUGUUUCAAGAGGUUUAAGAUUUUCUUGAUUGAAUUUACGGGUUUGUUAUCUUUGUUUGGUUUUGGGAAAAGCUAGGAAAAUUACAAGGGAAGAAAUUUGAAUCCUAAUCCAACUCUGCCUAAUGCGCUGAUUCGAUCAUUUAGCUUAGCUGGGUUGAUAUGGUGUGGUUCGGGAAAAUCCUCACUCUUGAAUUAACCGUGUUAAAGCUCAAUUGCUGCAUUUUUAGUGUUAAUUUGGGUGCUUGAAAUGAGAAAUAUAAAUAUCUCUUGACCUCGAUUGAUCGGGGUUUUGUUGGGCCUUUUUUUUUGUUGCCGAGAAAAAGUUACGGAAAAAUUGGGAAUGAAAGACAGGAAACCUCCACUGAGAUGUACUGCAUACCAGGUCUAGUUAGUUUUCUGUGUUCAAAUGUUGCAGUGAUUUGUGAUCUAGGAAGGGCUUACUGACCUGCCCUUUUGGGUUUUCAGUUACUUGUUAAACUAAUUCAAUGAGGUCCUAACUGUUACUGCAAUCUUCUCUUUCAACUUGGAUGUUUGACAUGAUAAUACAUGGAGAAUUUUGUUGUGCUCCUGGCUCAAUUUUAUGUUUGGAUGACAAUAGAAUGUUGGAUUGGUUGAAAAAUUGAAAAUUAGACAUCAAAAUCAAUUUCUUUAGGCAUUAGUUAUUUUAUUUAAAUGGACAUUGGGCAUGAUAACUCCUUGAGAGAUUUACAGCCAUAUUAUCUCAACUUAUGGCCAUUUUCUACUGGGUUGUGGGUAGUACUAGCAAGUUUAUGACAAUUGUAUUAUAUUUGUUUUUGAUUUCAUAAAAAUAAAAAAUGGGGUUGCUGAAGCUUAUUCACCCAUUAAUGAUCCUUAGUGUUUCAAACUUUGAUGUUUUUCCCAUUGAGGAUUUCUUAUAUAGUUUAUAACAGGCUUGACAGAAAUGUCUUCCUCAAUUUUGUGUUGCUAGUAGGCUGUUAAAUGACAUCAAGAAACUCAGUUUAUCACCUGGGUGAUCUCUAGGUUACAUCAUGAAGGUUACCUAUUGUCAAAACCACAAUCAUGCAGAUAAGCUUGCAUUUAUGAAUAGAAGUUGAAAAACCUAUAAUGAUGUAUUGUACACUUCCACCUAAUAACAAUGAAGGUGUGGAGUCUGUGGACUUGUGAUUAAGGUAGCACUCUUGCAAACGGGAUUAUAUCCUACAUGAUUGCAAGAAGUAGGAGCAAGUUUGUGACACUUGUAUUCUGAACUAGUAACAAAGGCAGUGUAGAUGUAAGGACAAAGAAUGAUGUGCCCUUGCGUGAUAGUGUUUUCUAUGUAUUGUAGUUGUCCAUGACACCAUGUAUUAGAGUUGUAUCACAUAGCAAGGAACUUUAUGUCGCAAGAACUUCAUUUCUUCCACUGUUUUGGACUUUGUGAGAGAUGAGGUUUUCUACAUGAUUGUAGGCGGUAUGAUAAAUUAGGAAUGAGGGUUUAGAUGACUUAUUUGAGUUGGUUGCUUAUGUGGUUCAAGGCCAUUUCAAGUUUAAGAAUCAAUUUGGACAAAAGUGAGUUAAUUCUUGUGGGGAGUGUGGAUAAUUUAGAUGACUUGGCCUUGGAUUGAGUUGUGAGGUGGGUGUUCUUCCUUCCCCUUACUUGAGUCUUCCUUUGGAGGUCCUUUUUAAAUCUAUGACAGCUUGGGAUAGGGUGGAGGAAAGGUUUCGCAAAAGGCUAAUCAUGUGGGAAAGACAGUAUAUCUCAAAAGGAGGGAGACUUACUUUGAUUCGUAACACUCUUUCCAGUUUAGAAGGAUUUUUUUUUGUGGGGUGAUGGGGCACUUGUGCAAAAACCACGCUUAGUAAGGUGGAUGACAGUCUAUUCAGGUAAAAAAGGAAAGAAGAGGGAGGGGGGGGGGGGGGGUUUGGUUGGUUUGGGCGUAAAGUGUAUUUUAGUGAUGAACAAAGUUAUCCUUUGUAAGUAAAGUUGGCACUUUGCCAAUGAAAGAGUGGCGUUUUGGAAGCAAGUUAUUAGCCAGAAGUAUGGUGAAUAUGAAAGAGGUGGCGUUCUUGUGAGGGAUAGGCAUGGUGUUGGCCUUUGGGAAACCAUAAGAAAGGAUUGUGGUCUUUUGAAUAGUAGAAUAUUUUUCUUAGUGGACAAUGGUCAAAUAGUAAGAUUUUGAAAGGACAAGUGUUGUGGAGACAAAUUGCUAUGUAUUUCCAUCCUCUCCUUAUUUGCCCUAGUUGCUUCUAAAGAAGCGUGGGUAACAGACGCUUGGAACUCAACAGUUGAAGGGGGUUGGAUAAGCUCCUCGCUUCUCUAGGCCAUUUAAUGAUUGGGAGGUGGAAAGUGCAGAGCGUUUUUUCCUGAAACUUCAAGACAAAAGGAUGUAUAGACAACUGAAUGAUUGGGAGCUGGAAUCCUUGGUUUAUUAGACAACUGAAUGAUUGGGAGUUAGAGGAGGUAGGCAUCUUUUUUGAGAGGCUGUAUGAUCAUGCUAUUUCUAUGGAUACUGAGGAUUCGGUGAAGUGGGUUGACACAAAGAGUGGUAUUUUUUCUGUUAGGUCCUUCUACUCCUCCUUGGCUAGUAGGGGAGUGGAUCAUUUCCCUCACAGUAGAGUCUGGAACUCCUAGGUCCCUGUUAGAGUCAACUUCUUUGCUUGGGAGGCAACUUGGGCUAAGAUAUUGACUCUAGAUCAGCUCAAAAAGAGGGGGUGGAAGAUGCCUAAUAGAUGCUACAUGUGCAAAGAGGAAGAAGAAACAAGUGUUCAUAUUCUUUUUCAUUGCCUGGAAUCUUGUAUACUGUGGCAGCUCAUUUUUGCUUGUUUGGUGUUCAUUGGGUGAUGCACUCUUUGAUGAGAGGUUUACUCUUGAGUUGGGGAGGCUUUCGUGUUGGUAGAAAAAGGAAAAAGGCUUGGAAGGUUGCUUCGUUAUGCCUUUUUUGGUCUAUUUGGAGGGAAAGAAAUAUGAAAGCCUUUGAGAAUUGUGAAUGUUCAGAUCAUUCUUUAAAAAGUUCUUUUUUUGUAUCUAUUUUGGGAUUGGGUAAGAUUGUAUAUUGGGGAGAGCUCCUUGUCGAUGCUUGAUUUUGUAGAUUGGUUAGGAGCUCUGUAAGGUGCGGUUGUUUUUGUGUGUCUGCUCCUUUUUUUUUUGUUUCUUUGUAUACAUUGUGUAUACUUUUUUAAUACAAUUACUUUUACCUAUCAAAAAAAAGGGAUAAGGAAGAUAGGGUGGUUUGAACGGAUUCGAAGAGCAAUAAGUUUUUCAAUCAAAUCCCUUUAUUUCACUUUGGAGCCUGGUGACCCGUUAGUGUUCCUGUAGAGCAUCAUCUGGAGUUUUUGUGUGCCACCUAAGGUAGUUUUUUCGCUUAGGAGGCAACAUGGGGGAAAGCCUUAACUUUGGAUCAAGUCCACAUGAGGGGGUUUUCUUUGACCAAUAGAUGUUUUCUUUGCCAUUCUAAAAAAGAAACCGUUGAUCACAUUUUGGUCUACUGUGCAAAGACAAGGAUUCUGUGUCAGCUGUUUUUUACUCUCUUUGGAGUGUCAUGGGUUCUUUCAUCUUCAGUUAAAGAUGCACUCCCUUGGUGGCAUGGGUCAUUCUUGAGUAAAGUUCCCAAAAAGCCUUGGAAGGUUGCCUCAUUAUAUAUCUUUUGGACUGUUUGGAAGGAAAGGAACAUGCUAGCUUUUGAUAAUACAAAGCUUUUGGUCCAAAAGAUGAAAAACUGUUUUGUUUGUAAUUUAUGGUCUUGGUAUAGGAUGUCUAUAGAUGUGGGCCCUAUGUCUCUUUUAAGCUUUAUUGAUUGGCUAGGUUCUAAGUGAGGGCAGGUGUUGUUUUUUGUUCUCUCCCUCCCCCGCUUGGUUGAGCCUUUUGGCAGCCGGUGUAUGCUUCCUCUAUACUUUGGGAAGCUGUUUUGGCGUUUCCUUUCCUUUUCAUAUGUACCCUUUGUUUUACCUAUCAAAAAAAUGAAUUAGGAAAGAAGGCAAUGGUGAUGCAAGGGCAAGGAAGCAUGCACCGCUGUGUGAAAGUGUGUUAUACAUAUUAUAGUUUUCCAUGUAUUAGCGUUGUAUCACAUAAUUUAUUUUUUAUUUUUUACCCACUGCUAUGGAUUUUGUAAAAAUAACAAUUGCAGUUGCUGAAGCUCAUUUACCAUUUUAUGAUCCUCUGUUUACUUAUUUUCUGCCACUAUGCACAUAGAAGAUUCCUUACAUACUACCCUAACAGGCUUGAAAAUUUUUCUCACUUGCUAGAUUUGUAUUGCUUGUAGGCUGUUAAAUCAUGGUGAGAAACUCAGUUAAUCACCAGGGUGAUUUAUAGGUCAUCUUGGAAAUGUUACCAUGUGUUAAAAUGACAAUCAUGCAAAUGAGCCUGUAGUGAACCUGACAUUGAUGUAUAGACAUCCUAAUACAUAUAAUAGAGCACUGUGGACUUCUAUCUUAUAUGAUCAAUGCAUGAUUCUUGGAAAUGAGGCAGGACUUUGUGAAUCAAGCAACUUAUUCCUCACAUAUUCCAGACAACCGGUUUGCUACUCAUUAUUUUGUUUACCCUUGUAUCCUUGUUUGCCUUUUAGGAAUGCAUGCAUAGGCUGCAAGCUUAUUGUGCAUUUCAAUGUGGAGUUGUUUCUUUAUAGUAUCCCUCUUUUACUGUUUAUUCUAAAUGGAUUGACACAUAAGGAUGUUUUAUGUUGCUUGUAUUAUGGCUAGUAUUUCUCAACUUGGUUAUCAAGUUCAAUUUUUCCACUCUCAAUGACACUUGCAGUUGUUUGUGUCUAAAUUUCAGAAAGGUGUCACAUCCUGCAUCAAUUACCAUUGUCAAAGUAUUGUAUUUUGUCUUUCAUUUUUUCAUGUCUUGUUUCCAAUGACAAGACGGACAAGCUCAUUUCUAAGGAUAGCUUGAUUUGGAUGAUGGUAUUUAGGGUGCAUUUUAUGGUUGAAAUAUCCUGCUGUUGUAUGUAAUGUCAUGCUGCUGUCACAAUGCAGUUGGUCUUUAUAGAUUAAACCUUAGCGUAUGUCAAACUGAUUGGAUUUUAGGAGGGAAAGAAAGGCGAAUAUAUCAAAUUGUUGGAUUACCAUGUGAUAGACUUAAAUGAUGAAUUUGUACGAGCUACCUGGUGUUCUGAAUUUGUUCUCUUGUUUGGUAAAAACUUGAUGUGCAAACUGCUGUCAGUGCUGAGAUUAGCAUUGUUGACUGGACUGUGGCCAUAAAUGAAUUUUGGGAUGGAUAGAUGUAUGACACUUUGUGGAUUUGAUUGAGUAGUUUAGUAUGUUUCUUGUUUUUUUGUUUAUGCUUUGUGGCUUUUUUUUUUGGGAAGGGGGGGGUGGGGUUGGUCAUAAGCUGGUCCUUUUACUUUCAAAGUAGCCUUUUGAAUUAGGUGUGAUUUAAAUUAAGAGGCUACUGUAUCGGGGUUGGAUGCUCGUAAGGUAACUAGGAAUGGGACUAUUAUGCCCAGCAGGGUCUUUGUACCUGCAGAGAUCUGGAAAUCCCAAAUUCGUGGUCUGGUGAACUAUGGCUUUGGAGGUCUGAUCAUUAGUGAUCAACAGAAAUUAGAUGUUUUUUAAACAUUUACAGUGCAAUGAAUGGCUUUUCCUUCAGUCUUGUUUGGAUACCUUUCGGUCUGAUGAAGAUUCAACAAUCCUUUGCCAUUCAUUCCUUUUGAGAAGAGAAGAGAAAUAAUGCUGGAACGUUUUGAAUAGUUUGUAUACUAUAACAAUAUAACAAAUGCACCCAUAGUAUCAAUCCCAGCCUAUAUUGGAGUUGGAACCAGAAUGCAAUGGAUACUAUUACCAGAAAAUAAGAAUUAAAAUAUUUAAAAAAAAAAUUAGUGUUGGAAAAGGGCAUCUCACUUUUAAGGAUUAAACCAUUGGAAAUCAAAGGAACAAGAUGAACUAGGAUUCAGCACUGAUUAAAUGACCCUGGUCAGAAGCAAAGGUCCCAAGUCCCAAACUAUUGGUUUGUGCCAGACGGUAAGCACAAACUGCAGAAUAAAUUAUGAUAAAAAUGCUUAAUUUCCUACGGCUGCUAUGGAUUUUGUAAAAAUAACAAUUGCAGUUGCUGAAGCUCGUUUGCCCUUCUAUGACCCUCUGCUUAUUUAUUUAUUUUCCAUUAUGCACAUAGAAAGUUCCUUAUGUACUGCUCUAACAGGCUUGAAGAAUUGUCAUACUUCCUAGAUUUUGUAUUGCUUGUAUGGUUAAUCACAUCAAGAAAUUCAGUUAAUAACCAGGGUGAUUUAUAGAUCAUAUCUUGAAGGUUACCAUGUGUUGAAGUCAGAAUCAUGUAAACGAGCCUGUGGCAAACCUCACAUUUAUGGAUAGACAGCCUAAAACCUAUAAUGGUCCACCUUCGACUUCUAUCCAACAUCAAUUAAGGCAUGAUUCUUAUUCACAAGGCACGACCCUUGUGAAUGAAGCUACUUUUUCUCCACAUGUUUAGGAUACCAUUAUGGCUAAUUAUUAUGUUUACCCUUGUAUCCUUGUUUGCUAUUUAAAUGUGCUGAGGAAUGCAUAUGCAUAGACUGCAAACUUAUUAUGAGAUUUAAUGUGGAGUUGUUAAUCAUAAAAAAUAUAUUUAGAGCUGGCCUAAAAUGGUGCAUAUGAGAUGGUAGAAAAGUUUGCUUCUAAACAGACUACUAGGUUUAUAUGUUACCUCUUAUUUCUUUUUGUGGAUGAAAAUAGUUUACGUUACACCAUUCGCUAGAGUAGUCCAAUUGGUCAAGGUUGAGAAGGGUGGUCUCAAUAAGUAGUACAUGGUCUUGGAUUUGAAUCCUGUCAUUGAUGAUACCUUGAAUUUCCCGGCGCUAGUUGUCAUUUCUUUCCUUAAUUUAUCUUGAUAUUUUGAUGUUGAGAUUUUCUAGUAAAUUCCUUCCCAAAUGUUUUGCAUUUUACGGGUGCCCAAAAAACACACACAUUGAUUAAAAAGCCUCAAUACCCCUUUAGUCAUACUUCAGGUCGUUCCAGAGAUUAGUUGGUAUUUAAUUGAACUUGGUCUUUUAAUGAGCUCCCCGUCCUUGAUGAAGGCUUUAUUGCACUCAACAUAUUGUCAUGUGUUUCUCAAAUGGGCCAAUUCUUGUGAUUAGAUGUUUUUUCUUUUGGAGCUUUCAUCUAUCAAUCCCAGGCUUUAGAGGUCAAAUAAGGGUUUAUCUAUAUCUAAAGAAGUUGGAUUUAGUCUUAAAAUUAAUUUGACAGUAAUUUUAGAAAAUAAUUUUAACUUUUUUUUAUUAUCAAAACACUUGUUUUCAAGUAAUAAAAAGAUUAAAAAUGCUUCUUAGGAUUAUUUUCAGACAAACUUUUGAAACAAGUAUCAUUGUUUUCUUUCAAACAGGCAAGGAUUCAUGAUUCAUAGGAUUGGAGGGUGGGGCUUGUCCUACCAUGCUAUUUCAUUACCUCCUCCAGACCUCAUCAACAAACCCAUAGGCUUAGCAGAUAUCAUAUCAACAUCAUCAAAGUCAUAUAUGGAUAUAGUUGCUUCUAAUGUCAUGAGUCUCUCUUUGUCCCAAGCUUUCUUGUCUUUUCCCUCUUUCCCACGCUAAUCUUUUGAGUUUGUUACCUGCUACCAUGUUGGCCAACUUGUGAUUUUUGACCGUCUCCUAAUCUCGGAAUCAUGUGGACGUUGCUUCUACUCCAAACACCUUUCUCCCCACAAUCUCUAGUCUAUAAAAUAUGGAUUAGUGGACAAAACACAUCUUUAUGCCAGCCAUUGCUUCACCAUUCAUCAUAGUUCUGUUUACUAAUAUUAUAAUUUGGCAUGCCCAAUCAUGUGAGCCCAACCGGCUUCUCGUGAUGUUUUGUCUGAGAUGCGUUUCUUUUUCUGAACCACAGAUGACCCCAAAGGCUACAGAAGGGCACGCUUUUCUUCUAUGUAUUUAUUAUGAUCCCUUCUUUUGUGUUUUACAAUCCUAGGAUUACUAUUUGAUUUAAAUUAAUACCAAUGUUUGAAUACAAGGCUGCUUACUGCCUGGCUUUUUAAUUACUAUGAUCACUGGAAGCCCCAGUUGUGGUGAAAUCCUAUGAUAAUAAUUCUCGUACUCCUUUUAGCCACGUGGCUUUUUCACUUUUACUGUUGGGCUUGCUUAGUGCUUUUGGUUCAGUGUUUGAUAUGCUCAAUUUUAAUGUUGGAGUUGGUGUAAAUUAUAUAAAAAUUUAUAUCCUAGACCUCAAAAUUUAAACUUCCUUUUUCUCCACACGACCACUUUGUUUAGUGUGAAGUCAUUCUUAAACUAUGCUUUCCACCCUAUUACAUCAAAUCCCCCACAAAAAAUAAAGCUAAAGGAGUAGUUGGAUGCUGACGUGGCAAGUGCAUUACCAAUCAGUUUGCAUUUAAGUCUCCAGGUGGACACCGCUAUUCAUUACUUAAAUUGACUAGAUGCCGUUGCGUUGGGAUCCACUUGGAAAAAAAUAGAAAGGUUGGCUCUCAACUUUUGACUAGGGUGGUGGAUUUAUGGACAAAAUUGACCUCUCACAUCUGAAGCUUCUGUCACAUCAAGUAAGGGUAAUCUCGUCAUAAUAAAUUGUGUAAGGUGUGUCGUUUUCUCGAUCAUUCACAAAAUUUAAUAGAAUUGGAAUAUCUAGGCCCAUCCAAUGAAUCUCCCAAAAAUAAAUUCGAAAAAAUAAAAUUGUGUUUGGAUAAGAAAAAAAUGAUUUUUUUAAAGUGGGGGUGGUGAGCCCAUGCAAAUGUGUCUCUACUGUGUAAAGGUCAAGGCAAAGGCAGAUUUGUUGUUCUUUUGAGGCAAUUGGAGUGGUAGAAAAGUUUUUAGUACGUUGGUCUUUGUUUUUUUACCAAAUAGAAACAUUUUGGAUAUUCUUUUUUGAAAGAAAAUGGUUUUUGGAGUAUUUGUUUUAAAAAUACGAUGUUAAUUUUUACCUUUUUUUUUUUAAAAAAAAAUUCUAAAUAUUAUCAAAAAAUUAUUUUUGGAAACUAAUCACAAAAAAUUAUUUCGCUUUUGAAAAUGUUCCAAACAAAUACUAGAUAUUUCUAAAAUAUUUUAAAAUUAAUUAAUAGAUUCUUAAUAAAACCAAAUAACUUUUUCUUUUUAUUUAAAAAUAUUUCACAAGUAUAAUUAAAAAUUCAAAUAGAAUAUAAUAACUCCUCGUUACCCCAUCACUAGAGUGACAUUGUCCCAUUACUAGAAAAAACAAAGCGUUCUCUUGUUCCCCCUCUGUUCGUGGGGUCCAUUUCUAAUUCAGUCCAAAUUUCGGAAACAUUUAAUAAUUAAUAAUUUUGUUGCCAUUCAUUUCAUUUAAUACGUGGCCCAAUUAGAAAUGUUAUAUUCUAUAGCCAAGUUUCUUCAAAUUUACUAAUUAUUUCUUUAAUUUAAAAUAUUAUAAUAAUUAAAAUUUAUUUUAAAUAGGAAAUUUAACGCGUUUAAAUAAUUGGAAAUCAUAGCUAAAAACCAAAAAAAAUAUGUGUUUGGAGCGCACUAGCAACAAGAUAGGCGCCGAUCAAAUCAGCCAGCUGGGGUCAAAAUCAAGUAUUUCAAAGUCACCAUGGUCAAAGGCUCUUAGUGAUUUCGGCUUCGAGAGCAAUUAUAAAUCGGUAAAGAUUUUUAUUUUAUUUUCUUUUAAGGGUAAAAGUGAGUAAGCGUAACGUGACCGGGAACUACCGGUCAUUUUCGUCCACCGACAGACUUUCCCCGUCACCCGAAACUGCUACUCCGUACAGUCCAACCUUUUAAAUGUGUUCCCGCACUGAAAACUGCCAAAUCAUACAAUCGUUCUCAGGAGAGUGUGGGAGAUUAUAAUCCCGAAGAUUAUUUGAAGUUUUUCCCCGAGAAAGUGACGAAAAUCGAGGAUAGCGUUUUAGUGCUUGUGCUUCUUCUUCGACCUUCGGAGCAAAAGAACGCUUGGUAAGAUCAUUUGCUUUUUCUUUUUUGACAGAUUACGGCCUUUUCACUGUUUUCUUUCCCUGUUUCUUUUUGUCGGUGUCCUUCGUCUUUUCACUUCAAGAAUGGACUACACAGUAGAUGAUGCAUUGUUUUACGCUUCGAAGUCUUCUGAUCUGAACGUUUCUGCAUUCAGAUCUUGUCGUUCUCUGCAUUUUGAUUCCUUGAAUUUUGGCGAUUUAUUUGCUGUUGCUCUGUUUCGAAUGAUUUUAAAGGUUUGUUGACUAAUCUUGCUUCUACAUAUUGUUAAAGAGUUCUGGUCGAGUUUCGGUCACUAAUGUUGUGUUUGGUUGGCGAGAAAUCGUAAGAAAAUAAGAGGAAACUUGAAAUCUUACAAGAGCCACUUUCAUCUCUCUUUCUAUACUUUACCGGGAAUCUAGCGGAGUCUGAUCGUUAGAACGAUUGAGGGACGAGUUCUUUUAGUUUAGUGUAUGGCUAUUAAAAUUUUUGUAUGAGGAUUCAAUUUCAAUGGUUUUUGAAUCGAAUUAUAUGGUUUUAGUUGGACUAGUCUGUUCUUUUCUUUAUCUCCCUCCUUGGAGCAUAUAGUGGUGUGAAGUGUCCUUUGGAUGAGUUGGAGGUGUGGGUUAGAGAUUAUUCAUGCCUAUGUGAGUUCAGUUUUGCUCCAGUGAAUGGAUGGUUUAGUCCAGUCUUGGUCUUGCCAUGGGCCCUGCAGUUCAUCUGAGAUGACAACAUCUGAAUGGUAAAAUGCCGUUGAGUUGCUGGAGAGGAGAAUUUAGGAAUUCGAUGUUUCCAUGCUUCUGAGUGGUGAACAAUUGGUGGUUUCCUGUUAUCCAUGUUUGAGAUCUGAUUGCAUAAGAAUUGCAUAGUUCCAAUUUUUUUUUUCUCUGUUCGACUCUGGCUCUUAUAUAUGGUGUCAAGCAAAAUUUAUGUUUGUUCAUUGCAUCCAAAGAAUGGAACACAAAAAGAAGAGUUCCAAUGCAUUGCAUAAGCUUGAGGUCCUUUCCAUUAGAUUUGAAGUGGCAAGAUCAUGCACAGGGUAUGAAAAACAUCGGCCCAUAUUUUGUAAGCAUGAACUUCCCUCACCAUUUUCAGUGAAAGGGGAGAAAGGAAUAAUGAGUUGGUUGUGCAUCAUUUUCUUUGGUUCUAUCUGUGCUGACGAUUGUUCUUAUACUACUAUAUUUUUGUGGUUCCUCUGCAGUAGGCUAUGAAUUUUCUCCCUGUGAAACUCUUUACCGUGCCAACAUAAUAUUUUGCAAACUCAAGUCAAGUCCAACAUGUCUGGUUGUAAACAUCAUUUUUAGGAUUAAAACUUUGACUUGGUAGUAUCUUAUGCUAGUUGUUUCUUUGAAUUCUAACUGAGCUCCUUCAAAUAAAGUGCUCUACAAGAGCUGAAAAAGAGACCCUGAACUGCAUCAAGAAAAAUACCUGCAAAAAAAACUGAAUAUAAAGCUUAUUAUGCUGAACCAGAAUCCAGUAACUCGAUCAGUUAUUUGGACAUGGGUUCAGAACACUCUUUAGUUUACAUAAGACAUGUUUUUAACCUUGUAUAUUAUGCGGUCUAUGCCAACAGGUUUAAGGAGGUGCCUUGAGAUAUAAAGUCCUGUGAAAUGGUUGCCAAAGAGAACAAGGAUGAAAUUAAAGAUAACCAUUCUAGUGAUUUGGAGAAAGAGCCUAAGCCAGGAAAGGAGGAAGAGUCUGAUUCUGAAACAAGAAGAGAUUCGGUAUCAUCUCAAGGGGAUUCACAGACAGCUGACGAUGAGAAAGUAGAGAGAGCUUCAAGAGUUCCCAAAAGGAUUGCCAAAAAGGAUUCCUCUGACAACCAUUCUCAUGCAUCAAGAGUGAGAUCUGAUCGUGAAACACAUAAAUCACAAUCCAAGCCAUUACAUAACACUCCUAAGAAAUCUCCAAAAUCCAACAAAGGGCCUUCUAAAGUGACUACAAAAAAUUCCCCCAAUACUAAUUCUAAAAAUAUGAAAGUUCCUCCAAAACCCUCAUCAGAAUCAUCUGAAGGAAUUGAUGAUAAACCUAUUGAGGAGGUAAAGGAAGCAGAUCUCUUGGAUGGAGCCUCAAAUGGUGUUCAGAGUGUUGGAAGUGAUGAUGAGACAGUUGAUACUGAGGAAAAUGGUGAGCAUGAAGACAAGGUUGCUUUGGAUCAAAGGAUAGAAGAAAUGGAAAUGAGAAUUGAGAAACUUGAAGAGGAGCUGAGAGAAGUUGCUGCUCUUGAAAUUUCACUCUAUUCUGUGGUACCAGAGCAUGGGAGCUCAGCACAUAAGGUGCACACACCUGCACGACGGCUUUCUAGACUCUACAUUCAUGCUUCAAAGCAUUGGGCCCAACAUAAGCGAGCCACAAUUGCUAAAAACACUGUGUCUGGGCUUGUUUUGAUUGCCAAGUCCUGUGGUAAUGAUGUUCCGAGGUACGCCAAUUAUCAUGUUUUUAAGUCAAUGCUUUGGGAUGCUAUGCUCAAUUAUUGUAUACUGAUCUAACAAUGUUCUUCUUCCUUGUUUGUUUUCUUCUUUUCUUUUUCUUUUUCUUUUUCUCUUUCAAAAUUAAGGCUAACCUUCUGGAUGUCAAACACCGUUGUGCUGAGGGAGAUAAUAUCUCAAGCAUUUGGCAAUUCAUGUCAGUCUAGCCCAGUUGUAAGGUUUUCUGAGUCAAAUGGAAGUGGGAAGAAAAGUGACGGAACAUCUUUGACACUGAAGUGGAAGGGUAGUUCUGGUGGUAAACAAGUAAACAAACUUGGUUUUGUGCAAUUUGUUGAUGAUUGGCAGGAGACAAGAACCUUCACUUCUGCAUUAGAAAAAGUUGAAUCCUGGAUUUUCUCUCGGAUUGUUGAGUCAGUAUGGUGGCAGGUAAAAAAUACACAAGUUACUGUAUGAUUAAUGAAUUAAAUUUGAUCCAAACUGUUGAAAGUAAUGUAAUCUAACUAAAGAUCUCAUACCCAUAAGUCAUGCACGAUAUGCAAAAAAAUCAACCUGUUAAGUGACAUGCACAAUUAUUAAUAUAUAUCUCCAAAUAUGAAAAUAAGCAUUUUAUUUUUAUUUUGCUAGUAAAGUCUAUGUGUAAGUUACUAUUAUGUCUGAUUUAUAAUUAUAAGUGGCUUUUAAUGUGCUAUGUUCCUUAAUUCUCUCACUAUCUUAUGGUUUCAGACUUUAACUCCGCAUAUGCAACCUCCAGUUAAGGAUUCCUAUACCAAGAAAACCAUUGAACGUCUAUUAGGACCUGCCUUAGGUGAUCAGCAGCAAGGGAGCUUUUCCAUUAACCUUUGGAAAAAUGCUUUUCAAGAUGCCUUUCAAAGACUUUGUCCUGUUCGAGCAGGAGGGCAUGAGUGUGGUUGCUUGCCUGUAAUAGCAAGAAUGGUAAGUGCUUUAAAAUAAAAAUUUGCCUUUUCUAUUUUUAUUUUCAUUUGCAAAAGCAAUGGAGAAUAAACCGAAGACCAAAACUUUUCAUGUUUCAACUUUUUAGCAGGGCUGACUUGUUUAAGCUUUUAUAUUCUCUGAAGGGUUAACUAGAUGUUUCUGUCUGCAGGUAAUGGAACAGUGUGUUUCCAGAUUAGAUGUGGCAAUGUUCAAUGCUAUUCUACGUGAGUCUGCCCAUGAGAUCCCAACUGAUCCUAUAUCAGAUCCAAUUGUUGAUUCCAAGGUUCUGCCUAUUCCAGCUGGAGACUUGAGUUUUGGAUCUGGUGCUCAACUUAAAAAUUCUGUAUGUAUUGACUUACUUUACAUAUAUGUGGCUUGCAUAUUUUGUGUGAAAGUUGCUUUAUCUUCAUCCAAGGGGUAGUUAGUCCUCUGAUUUGUCAGCCAGUAUAGAAGAAUCCAGCCUUGAUUAACUUCUAGGGUAAUUGACAAACCAUUAUCGUGGUGAAUACAUGAAGGCAGAUCAGUUACAGUUAGCAACCGCUAUUGUAAUUCAUUUACUUUGCUUCUUUCUGGACAAAAAUAGUGGAAACAACUCCUGAUUUCUUUAAGAACAUAUGCCUGCCAUAAUAAGGGAAAAGAAGAUUUAAUUAGGGGAAAAAUGCUUUUAGUCAAAGACACCUUAGCUCCAUCACAAACAAGUGGAAAACAAAUUUUCUCCAGGAAUGAGUUCCAUUGUGACAAUGAAGCCUUCUUGGUAGAUAAUUUGUGGUUAAGUUGGCAAUUUAAAACCUUUUCAGCUUUUUUAUAGGCAAUUGAAAGCUUCAAACAUCUCAUUGUUCCACUAUUUAGAAUUGAUGGGCAUUUCAGGGUACAGAUUUAUCCUCUGUCAUGUAAUUGUUACUAGAAAAGGGGAGCUGUUGAAAAAAGGAAUCAUAUCCCAAAUGACAAUGGAAAAAAUGUAUCUUGGAUUCCCUCUUUAAUGAAAAUUCUGAACUUCCACAUUCAGAGAUUAUGUACACUCAUUUAAAAUGCUAUAGAAACAGAAUGGUCUCUUUAAAUCCUCAAAACAGUGAAUUUAUCUCAUUUUUAUGAGGACAUCCAAAAUGCCCUCUGAUUGUAAGAAUAAUCAUACACAUGUCAGCAACAGGUACAAGGAGUUAGGCAUUCAAAGCGUUUCUAGGUUUAUAUCAUCUAUGGGAAGACCCUUGUUUUCUAUGGAAUGAUCAUGUUUACAAGUUUUAAAAUCACAUGGAGUUUGCUUCCCAUGCAGGUCGGAACUUGGUCCAGAUGGCUUACUGAUUUGUUUGGUAUGGAUGUUGAUGAUUCCCUGGGAGAAGUUCAGAUCAAUGGUGAGGAUGGUGAAAGCCAGGGUGGACAUGAUGAACCCAAAUCGUUCCAUCUUCUUAAUGCCUUAAGUGAUCUUCUGAUGCUUCCAAAAGACAUGCUAAUGGACCGAUCCAUUAGAAAGGAGGUUAGCCUUAUAAUAAUAUACUUUCAUUCAAGACAUGUAAUAUUUCCUUGCUGCUCCUCUAACUUGAUGCAUUUUUUUGGUUGUCAUGUUUUUAACAUGAAAGGUGUGCCCAUCAAUCAGCCUUCCAUUGCUUAAAAGAAUACUUUGCAACUUUACACCAGAUGAGUUCUGCCCUGAUCCUGUCCCAGGAGCUGUGUUAGAGGCAGUGAAUGCUGAGGUAGAUUUUGCUUACCUUUGAAAUCUCUUCCAGAAGUUUUUUAGGAGUUGAGUAGGUACACUAAAAUAGUACAUUGGGCAAUUAUUCAAUAUUCAUUAUUUUGUGGAUGCUAUUAUUUUGUAAUGGCUCUUCAUAAACACCAGAAGACAAAACAAGUGGAGUUCAAAAACUUAGGUUGGGGUUGGAUUUUUUGGUCUAGGUUUGAGUUCCAACAGAUAUGAAAGAAAAUGUCAAGGGAAAAAAAAUGGUUUGGAGUUUCAAUGAUUUUUUACCCUUUUUCUGAACUUAUUGUGGGGAGAAAAAUAUUUCCAAGUGGCAAUUAAAAACCAGAAACAUCAACAAUUAAUCACGGUUCCAGCUCUAUUAAGGGUGGCCAUUUAUUGUUCUGUUCCAGCUUUUCAGAUUCCAUUUGGAGAAUAAAUGAUGUUCUAAUGGAGGACUGAACAUUUAAAUUGGAGAUUUUCUAUGAUAGGUCACUGAUGAUUCCCCAUGAAACUUUCUUGUCUCAAUAAUAUGCUAUCCACACCUUUACUGAUGGAAAUGCCACCUAGGCCUAUCAUCUUCUGCUUCUGUUUCUAAACAUAAAAAAUUUCAGAAUCUUGCUAUGGCCGAUUGAAGGACAAAGAUGCUGAAAUAGAUGGCUGAUCCAUCGCUAUUUCAUUUUUCCAGAGUAUUGUAGAGCGAAGAUUAUCAGGAGACUCUGCCAGCAGCUUCCCAUAUCCAGCUACCCCUGUUCUGUAUGCUCCUCCUUCCUCUGCUGACGUGGCAGAGAAAGUUGCAGAGGCAGGUGGGAAAUCACAAUUGGCGAGGAAUGCGUCUAUGGUACAGAAAAAGGGGUAUACCAGUGAUGAAGAACUGGAGGAACUGGAUUCUCCCCUCACGUCCAUCAUUGAGAAAAUGCCACCAUCUCCAUCUGUUGUAAGAAACGGAAAUGGAAAACACAGUGAGGAAACAGGCCAUAAUGGCUUAAAUGCAAGGUAUGAACUCCUUCGUGAGGUUUGGUCGUCGUGAAUGGUGCUUGUGAUUACAUUAAUACAUUAAUCAGUUAUGCUGCUGCUGUUUGCAUCAAAGAAUAUCAUGAAGGGAAUCGCAGGAGGAUGUUCUCUAAUGCGUCUGGGGAGAUGCUCUGUUGUAUAUGUUAUAGUGUUACACAUAUAGAGAGAUUUUGUUGCAUUCAGUAAAUUAUUUUUCAGUUAUUUGAAAGUUAUACUUGUAUUCUUAAGAAAGAUUCUUGUUGUACUGCUUCUCCAUGGAAAAAAAUUCCUUAAUCCUUGUCGUAGAUUGUUUUAUUUGUAGCUCAGUGCAAAAUUGCAAAUUGCAAAAUCCUGGUGCCCCUGGGGCUUUCUCAGAACAUGGGCCAAAUUGGGGUUUGGGCCUGAUGAAAUGGGCUGGCCCGUCAAAUAGUUAUUUGGUGGACAGCCCUGGCCGUGCACCACUGGAUGUGGAUGGCCCACGGUUGCACCUUUGGCCUUCUGGCUUUAGGGAAGCUAAAAUCCAACAUUUUGAUUGAUGUAUUGAAGCGUUGGGUUUGUUCUCAGUAGCAAAAUUAACUGCGAUAUUUUGAACUUCUGCCUCCAGAAUCUCUCUCUCUACUGGUAUUAGAAAAACUUCUGCCUUUCUUGAGGUUCACCCGCCCCUGAUAAAUUGCGAAAAUUAACACACCCAAAGAACGUUGCAGGCAGUUUUAAUACUAUGGAUGCUUGACCGUAAAAAUCCAAUGAGCAUGAAUCAUCUUCAUUCGAGAAUAAACUAUUAUUUCAUACUUGUAAUCAUUCUUCACCAUAGGAAAGUUAAUGAAUAUUAUCUCAAACAUCAGCGCACAAGGAAAAAACUAAUUAUCAACUCUUUUACAAAAAUUCAAGAAUGAGGCUUUGCCCUAAUUAACCCCACCCUAUGGUAUAGGGCUUAAAUCCGCUACUCGCCUCCACACUAUUGGCCAGAGACCUUCCAAACUGAGCUGCAAGCUGGGCUUUUCGAGCAUGGAGGACUCCUCACAAAUGGAAUAUGCCCACUUCAGGAGGUCCAUUGUAGACAUGAUCUGGUUUGUGGGCUUCCCUCUUUGCCUGUUAUCUGCAUGUUUGUCAGAGAGUUUGCAGAUAUUAGAGAAAGUGGGAGGUAGAGCUUGAAGACGAAGUUUUUUACUACCUUCCAUCUUCUGGUUUAAAGUUGAAAGAACUGGAGAGGCUCAUACCCAUGCCUAAGCUUCUGCAAUGCCUGAUAUUUUGGAGUUUAAUAUUUAUAUAUAUAUAUAGGUCAAGUUUGAGGAGUUAAUAUUUAUAGGAAAACGAUUGAACUCAACUUAAAAUCUUUAAUCAUAUGACAUAUUAGAAAUUUUAAGUUCUCAAAGAAGUAUUAUAAUGAAGGUUCAUAUCUGGUCACAUUACUCAGGUUCAUAUCUGGUCACAUUACUCAUACUUUUCGAUCAAUUUUUUCAUAACCUUCACAUUCUACAUAUCCCGAAUCUCUUAAUACAUAUUUAAGUGACCUUGAAGUUAUACACCAUUAAUAAAAAGUGAUAUUAUGUGAAGACUAAGGUGGUGUUUGUUUUUUUUUUUUUGCUUAAUUUUAAAUAGAAAUUUAAUAUUUAAUAAUGUUAAAUAUUAUGUUGUUUGUUUUUAUAAUAUUUUUUUUUAUAUUAAGUAUUAAAAAGUAAAGAAAAAACCAAUAUGUUAUUUUUUUAUUUAGAAAAAAUUAAAUAUUUUGACUUUUUUAUUCAGAAAAAAUUUUAUAAUAAGUUAUGAAAAGGUAAAAAAACAAACAACCUAAAUUCUGAAAACAAAUUGCUUUCAUUAAAAAGUCAAAAAAACAAACAACCUCUAACCCUUAUAUAUUAUACUUCAGUCAUAAAUGGACCGCUUAAUUAAGCAUCAUAUCAUUAUAUAAAGGUUCAAGUUUAACACUACCCGUAUAACAAGCUCUAUGUCAUGAAAUUACACCAGUGUGUUCAAGUGUAGCCACAUAAUCUUUACAUAUUGAGACCAGGACGGCUUGGGUCUGCUGAGAAACUCUUAACUGAGCUGGAAGGGACAUCAAACUCAGUUUUGUCUGCUGGAAAAUCUUCAAUCCACCAUCCAUCUUCUGCAUUUUCCGGGGCCAAGUCUUCUCCAACAGUAGUUCCAUUUGUUUGCACCACGCCACCUGCCAUAUCAGUAGAAUUAUUUCCAGUUACAGUCACUGUUGUAUUCCCCUCCAACAUCCAGCUCCUCCGCCCGUUGAAAUCGGCGUUGGUUCUGGUUCCCCUUGCAGGGCUAGUCAAUCCAUCAAAGAAACCAGGGCUGGGCUGAGGAGGAGGGUUUUGGAUACCACGGAGCCCGAAGAAUCUAGGGUUUUGCUCCAGGGCGUCGAGGAAAAAGUUUUCGUACUGCGGGGUUGGUAGGGUCUGAAACUGUUGAGAUGGUGGCAAUGGUGAAAUCCCCCUCAUAAGUCCAAAGCUGUAAGUCUUACCAGCUCCGUGAAUAGUAGAAAAUCGCCCCAAAUUCCCACUGGUUGUCAUCCCACUACCAGUGCUAGUAAACCCAAGAAAAUUAUGGAUAGGUUGAAAGUUAGGGUUUUGGUAGCCACCAAGAAGGAAGGAGCUAGGGUUUUGAUCCUGGACCUGGUUGAUACGACUGUGAUUUUGCCGGAACCGAAGAUACUGGUUCUCUGGGGCUGGUUGAAUCGGCGUUUGUUCAACUGGGUUUAGUUGCUGAAUCCCACUACCAAAUCCAUGGGCAGAAUUGGGGUUGGUUUGAAAAUUAGGGUUUUCAUGGGCACGAAGAAGGGAGGAGCUAGGGUUUUGAUGGUCUAGAUGUUGGCCAUGGUUGGCAGAAGUGUAACUCCGAUGAAAUUGAAGAUUUUGCUGUCCCGGGGCUGUUAGAUUCUGAAUCUGCUCGUCAGAUGGUUGAACUUCAGGGUCAGGCUGGGGGCUUCUCGAGUUUCCAUCUUCCGGCACGUCCGGUACCUUCUUUGCCUUCCUCUUUGAAAGAACUUCAUCCACUGAAGUAUUUUUUACGUACUUUGAAGCACCUUCACCAAUCGGGAGCUUAUUACUUGCCAGUAUGCUCAUGACAUUGUACUGACCAAGAUCAAAAUUGGUAAUUGCCUCCAUGCCAUUAAGCCUUAUCGAAGCAAUGUCAUAAGCCCUAGCUGCUUCAUCUUCGGUCUCUGUCAGCACAAUUGAAGAUUGAAUACUCAGAUCAGUAAGGCAAAAGUGGAAUCACCCCAACAUACUCAAGUGGCAGAGGGUCACUCUCCACCAAACAGUUGAGAUCAUUUGAGGGUUUUGAGCUAACAGUUAGAGUCUAAGUCCCACCAAGGUAGAAGCUAGAGCUAAUCAAAAUAUGUGAUCCAAGAGGGGAAGGACUUACUGAAUGUCCCUAAGUAAAUGCCUCGCAAUCCUUUGCCUCUACCUAACCUUGCUUGCCAUUUCUCGCCGUCAGCAUUCCUGUCCCAAUGCUUGGCCAUGAGAGACAGAAGGAGAAAACAUGAGUGAUAGGAAAGAGGAGAGAAAAAGACAGAUACUUGGAAACUCCGCGAUAUUGAGAGGCGCCUUUAGCAAAGCCCAUACUUGUCCUAAAAUUCGUUUGUUUCAAACUAUAGUUAAUAUAUAUGGUCUCCACAAGAAAUAAUUUCUUUGCAUUUCAAGAAAAUAUAAAGUAAAAAAAGUGAAAAAAAAUGUAUAAAUCAGAUUAUACAUACACGUUAUAUAUAUAUCCAAGUAAAUGCAGUUGUAAUUAAGGGAUUUCAAUGGAAAUGAAUCAAACCACACACCAUUAAUUUUGAUAGUCUAUGAAAGAAUGGAUUAAGUAGAAUCUUACCUUCUAAGGGCUACCAGAUAAUCUUUUUUCGACAUGUCCUUCAUCACCUCCAUUUCCUUCUGAUAAUUACUUAGCUGCAAUGAUACAAGUACAGAUUUAAAAAAAUUUGUCACCCUUGCUAAGUAUAAAUGAACUCUCAUACCAACAUACUUAAGCAUCCAAAUCAUAAAUCCAGUCUGGGUCCAUCAAUGUUGAGAACCAUACCGGGAAAUUUGUGGGGACUGAUCUGCCCCAGAACUUAAUGGCAGCUAAAUCAUAAGCCCGAGCUGCCUCAUGUUCUUGUCGAUAUACACCUGCAGAAUGAGAAAGAGGAAUGAGAAACCGUUGGUGACCAAAAACUAUGUUGUGCUGUCUUAGUGGGAGAACUGUGUUGAAGAUUAUGAACUGAAAAUUAAUCUUGUACUUACCAACAUAAACUUCCAGAUGUGAAGCAAGCAACAGAAACCAGAUGAGGAAAGAGAAGGGAGUUAGUAAUAUUCACGAGAGGAUUCUUAUAAGGUGAAGGAACAAAACUUGGAAAGUAAAGAACAACAAAUAAUUAAUUAAUGAAUAAAAUAUUUAAAUGAACUCAGCUACCUGUUCUUCCUUUUCCUUCAUUGUCCCACAGAAAUGCCUCAUAGUGUCCUGUAUGCUUAUAUCUAUUUUGGAGGGAAAGGAAGCAUUUGCAGGUGAGAGAGCGGCAUAUGUUUUUUCGAAAACAAUUAAAGAUAGACUAACACCAUAGACAUAGAAACAAACCUACUAACUCCUCGAUAGCGGGGGGUUCUUUCUCCAAAAGCUCGCUCUGGAGCUCUAGAACGGCCUCUACGUCGAGACACCUUAACUGAAGACUUGUCCUUCAUGCCCUUUUUCUUCUCACCACUUACACUAUUACAGCUGCUUGUGGAGAUUUGUUAAAAAAUAAAAACAUUGAAAAUUAUUAUGUUAAACAAUAGAGAUGAGAUAGACCACAACCUAGCUUGUCCUGGAUGUAUUGCAUCAGUACUACUGGUUCAGUUGGAUUUUCUGGGCUUCCUUCAACAAUGCCUAUAUUAUUAACCCUCCCAGUACUCUUCUUGCCAUUCAAAUCUGUGUGAUCACUUUCCAUGGAUAGAUUAGAUCAUUUCCCAUGGUAUUAUUAUGACUUGAAUCUAGGGACUUCUGCAGAGGAUAUGUUAUUAAUAUACUACUGCUAAUUGGAGAAAUAAUUAGAACAUGCACCAUUUUUAUUUUGAGGAUCCUGAAUUGAACAUUAAUGUUCAAACAAUAAGAAAGCAAGUUUACAAAAAAGGAUCAAUUCAUUUUGGCAUAGAUGAUAAUAAUGCACGCGUCAUGGAGCGGUCAAUUAAGGUUUUCUAGUUCAUCUUCUCACAAUUGUGCUGGAAUGAUAAUGGCCCGCAUCGCGACAUAAAGGGGCAUGCAUGUCAUAUAUUAGGGGGAAUAUACUUCGGUUCCACGCAGCAAGACGUGGCACCUUGCAAUUGCUAGAACUUGUUCUAGCAUGCAUGACCAUGGAUUAGCCAGUUCCUAUUUGGAAUGUUGCAAUUUCUUGAUCGCUGCCAUUUUCUACGUACUACAUUACAAAUAGUGAUGGUAAGUAUGAUUAGACAAUCAACAUAAUGAGAAGAAAAUGAAAAAAGAGUAGGCCACAACAGUGGGAAAUCCUCUGAAGAUAUCAAACAUGGAAGCAUACUGAUCAUCAAAGGCACAGAACAAUAAAAUUUGACAAACAUAAUCAAUGGAGUCACUUGUAUUAUAGUAAUAUAUGAUCCUUCCCUAUCAAAUCAAUCAUUAACUAAACCAAAUUAAUUAAUGAAACUGUCUUUAAGUUGGAAAUAUAUAGAAGCUUAAAUUACAGAAAUGGGAUACAAAAUGUUUGCAGCUACUACAUUGAAAUUAAUUUCCAUAUAUAAGGGCACAAAACAUAGUACUGAAGAAGGUGGCCUAAAAAUAUUACCCAGUUGCACCACAGUUAUAAUCAAGCUUCUUUCAUCUUAAUUUACAAAGGAUAUCUACCAAUGAAACUAGCUAAUAUCAAAGUCUUAUAACCAUAGAUAUCAUUCACAACUCGUGAGAACUACAAAUUAAACUCACAUAAAAGCAGCUGUAAAAGCAAAAUUAAAAGAUACAUGGAUUACUGCUUACGCUUAAAGCAACCUAGCUCACAGUUGCAGCCAUGGGCAUCUCUCUUUGAUCAUCAAACAGAUACCUGAAAAAUCAAAUAUACCGACAAGAGAUUUUAAAGCAAGAGAGAGUUAUUAUAUGCUGAAGAUCAGAACCAGUAGAGAUCUGAUAUUUUUCUUCCAUAUAUAAAUCCAUGAAGCAAUAUUUGGCAAAAAAGUUAUAUUAGAAUAUCACUUGACUAGUUAGGUUUUCUAAUCAAAUAAACGAAGCUCAUAUGUUGCAGAAGAUCUAACUCAAAUAAAAACUAAGGGCAAGAUAUAUAUAUAUACAUAUGUGCAUGAUACCUUCUUGUUACUUGGAGGGAGUCCCUAUCUUUCCUCUCUUUCUUCUCUAAUUGAAAACCUCAAAAAAAGGAAAUUAAAACCCAACAAAAAAACCAAGAAAGAAAGGGGGAAAAGCCGCAGCAAGCUCUCUGGGUGGCUAUUCCAAAAGCAAAACAAGAAAAAUGGUGAUGAAAUGAGGAAGAAGAGGAUACAGGAAAGAAGAUAUCUUCACUCCAUUAGUAUCAACACAUGGCACUUGAGAGGCUUGUCAACCCCUCCUUUUUCUCUCCUUUUCUCACUCACCAGUACUCCCAUUUUGUCACAAUCUAUCUCAGUGGAUACGACUCAUUAAUCUCUUGUUUAUCUCUUCAUUCAUUUUUUGUCACAACAUAUCACAGCUUCUACACUCAUUUCUCCGUGACUUGGUGCAGUCUCUUCCAUGGAUGCAGUGGUUAAUAACUCUAGAUUUCACAAAUCAAUCAACUCAUUUCCAAACGGACCUCAGCUUGCCACGUCAUCAAAAUGGGGUCCACUCAUCCACCAACUUUGUAUAAAAGUCAAUGGUCAACGCCUAUGGGUGUUUCUUGUUAGUAUCGAUACAUGCAACCUUCUUCUUAAGUGGGGUGUAUAGAAAUGGAUUCUUCCCAAACCCUAGCUAGUCCAAUUUUAGUUGUCAUUUGGUUAUUGUAGUUUUACAUUCCAAACAGAGUCCAAGCAAUAUAUAAAACAACAUUUCAAGAUAAUCUUAAAAAACAAAAAUAAUUCUUUUAAAAUUUUUUUAUAUAGUAUAUAGUUAUGAUUACAAUUGAAUUUUUUUAAUCUAAACAAUAUAUAAAAUAAAAUUUAUUAUAAAUUAAAAUAUAAAAUUUAUUAUAUACAACUGACAUUUUCAGGACAGAAAAUAUUUUUUAAAAACCAUUUUCAUUUGUGAUGUCAACUGACCCAGAAUAAAUAGAUUGGGCCCUUGUAAAGUUCGAGCCCAAGCCUUGGAUAUAGCUCCAGCCAACCAACAUUUCUUGGGUUGAGCAACGCAAGGGCCCAAACUCGAUACCCAUUCAACCUUAACGUUGAAUUGGGCCAGUCCAAUCCAACAAAACUCACUUUCAAUCAAAUUCAGGGAAAUUGUAGAUGAUCAAGACCUACUGCAUUGAUCAUGUUCUUUAAUAAAAAAAUUUUAUACUAUGAUCACUUUCAUGAUAUCCUGGUCUCUAUCAUUCUUUCUUACUAUGAUGACAUUCUUCAUUUCUAGUCAUAUUCGUUGGACCCUCAAUCAUAUGUUUUUUUUUGUACCGUAAUCACAUAUUUCUUUUACUCAUGAUGACCCUUUUUUUUUUCCUAAUGUUUUUACAGGCCUCCAAAUGAAAUUGACCAACAGAUUUGGACUUUUGUGACAUCAAAGAUUAAUCCGGCAAAUCUCACAUCAUGUUUUCAAUUUUUUUUUCUCAACGCUCCAUACCAAAAUUCCCAGAAAAACCCAUGUUUUCACUUCCUAGACAAUGGAAUCCCACUUCACAUUUCCUGAGGUACCAGGAGUUUCUUUCACUGGGAAAGGAAAAACCCUAAAAUGGGAAUUCCGAUUCCAGGACGUAUUGGAAUGUAGUUUCCCAAUUCUUUUCUGACUAAAAAACAAAAAAUCCGUCUACAAGAAAGCAAUGUUUCUAGGGUGGCACCCAAGAGUAGUAUUGACAAGGAAAAUAUGUUGUAUUACUAUCAAUGAGAAUCCCAAAAUCAAAUUCUGCUGCAGAACACAGAAAACCAUUUCCAAACAGGUUUUCCCCGACCACCCCACUCCAACAAAAAGAGCCCUGUGGGUUCAAACCACCAUUUCCAAACAGGAAAAUUACUCCAAAAUUAGUGAAAUCAAGUUGGAUUUUUACAUAUAAGACAAGACAUUAAACUGAACUGGUUGAAGUGUGGUUUAGUGUUCAUCAGAUUGGAGCUGAUGAAUGCUCAUCUGAAGUUCCAAUGGACAACUCCAAAUCUGGGAUGUGGGGGUCUUUGAGCUGAGGGAUUGAAGUGCUCUCACAACUUCAAACAUGGUCGGCCUUUUCUCAGGCAUUACAGAGGUGCAUCUCAGGGCCAUUUCCAGAGCACCCAGCAUCUCUUGCUGUGAAGAGUUUGAAAUCUUGGGGUCAAGAACUUGGAGAGCUCCAUCGGUAAUGUUGAUUUUCCGUCUAACCCACUUCACAAUAUCAAUAGACUCUGCUGAUUCUGCUUGCUCGGCUUGCCGGCCUGUCACGAGCUCUAGCAGCACAACACCAAAGCUGUACACAUCCAUUUGUUCUGUGGCUCUCUUGCUGUAUCCAUUUUCUGCAUUUGAACAAUGAGGGUGGAUAAGAAAAUUGAGAUACAGAGAUAUAUAUACAUAUAGCAAGAAGUUUAUAGACGCCCAGAAGAUUUGUACCUGGUGCAAUGUAACAUGAGAAAGCAGAUUCUGAAGCCAUGGUCGAUUGAAAUGCAGUUUCUCCCACAAUCCGAUCCAGAGCGAAAUCCGUGAGCUUUGGUUCCAAAUCUGCAUCCAGAAGGAUGUUUUUGGACUUGAGGUUUCUGUGAAGUAUAUGUGGAACAUAGUCCUUGUGAAGAUAUGCUAAUCCUUGAGCAACCCCAAUGGCAAUCCUCAAUCUAGUACUCCAUUGAAACUGAAAAUCUGGUCUGCAUAUCAAAUCCCCCAAGCUCCCCUUCUGCAGAAACUCAUAUAUCAGAAAGAUAGAGUCACUGGAGUGGCAGAACCCCAGAAGUUUGACUAUGUUCUUAUGCCUGAUCUUGGCCAAUGUCUUUACUUCAUUCUUCAGUGAUUUUGAAGACUGGCUCCCAGGAUUGAGAAGCUUCUUGACAGCCACAAGCUCACCACUUGGUAAGCUUAUGAUGUAAACUCUACCAAAAGCUCCACCACUUCCUACCGCGCUUUUCUCAUCCAUUCCCAUGAUCAAGUCAUGCUCUGUGACUCUAAGGGGGUAGAAGAAAACUGAUCUCCAGACACCCAUUUGAGAUUUCCGCUGGGAAGUCCGAUAAAUCACAAAGAACCCAGCUGCAAUGAUCAAAAUUCCAGCACCAAGAGCCAGAGAGAUGAGGGCACAUGCUAAUUUUGUAAGACCACCAGCCUUAUGUAUGGGCUCAUCAUCAUAACAAGAAUUGGGUAAUCCUGGGCCACAAAGUUCCGGAUUUCCUUGCAGAAAUGAAGCCGGAAGGCCGGAGAUCAAAGGGAAUGGAACCUUUCCGGAGAGGUGGUUGAAGGAUACAUUAAAGAGAGCAAGUUUCAAGUUUUGAAGCUCCUGUGGAAUUGAACCAGUGAGAUUAUUAUCCGAAAGGUCAAGGUAAGUGAGCACAGGUAAUUCAGCGAGGGAUGCAGGGAUUUGCCCAACAAGACUGUUGUCCGCCAGAGACAAUGAGACUAAUUUCCGGCAUUUCUUCAACUCUGGAAUUAGACCAGAGAGCGAAUUGUGGGAGAGAUUUAUUAUACUCAUAACUGGUGAGUCACAGAAAUUUGGAGGAAGUUCACCAUAGAAGCCAUUAAGAGAUGCAGAAAAUCUAUAUAAGCUCCGGACUGACCCAAGGCCCUGAGGAAUUUUACUAGUGAAGCUGUUGUUAUCAAUCUGAACUUGCUCCAACUGAGCAGCCACUGAUAUGGAAUCCGGUAUUUCCCCAGAAAAUCUGUUGUUUUCAGCUCUAAUGAGCUUGAUUUUGGGUAAUGACCAUAACCCAUUUGGGAAAUCACCAGAAAACCCAUUGUUCUGAACUUGAAACCUCUCAAGAUUCAAGCACUCACUAAUGGAGUUGGGUAUUGAACCACUGAAGGAAUUUGUAUGGAGGCUGAGGUUUAUGAGGCCUUUUCCUCGGCAUAUGCCAGUGGGAAAUGAACCCAGAAGGUUGUUUUGUGAAACAUCAAAAGAUACCAAGUUCUUAAGAGAAGCUCCUAGUGUCUGAGGUACCCCACCAGUCAGAUUGUUCUGAGAGAGGUCCAAAAUGGUUAACCCCUGCAAGCCAGCAAAGGAUUGAGGAAUCUCACCAUAAAAACCAGAGCUUUGGAGUAGAAGCUGCUUAAGCUUCUCAAGCUUGCCAAUGCCACCAGGAAUCUCACUCACCAAAAAUCGAUUUUGAGACAAAUCAAGAACAAGAAGCUCAGUGAAAUUCCCAAAAACAGAAGGAACACUACCUGAAAGCAAGUUGCUUCCCAAGUUGAGAACUUGCAGAUUCUUCAGUGACCCUAUGGUUUCUGGGAUCUUCCCUUCAACGUGGUUUCUGCUGAAAUCAAGCGUUCUCAAUGAACCAAACUGAGAAAUUUGCUCUGGGACUGUACCCCAAAUGAGAUUGUUACUGAGAUUCAAAGUCUCCAAAGAACUGCACUGGGAGAGAUGGAGAGGAAUGGGUUGGUUGAAGAGAUUGUCAGCAAGGUUAAGGUAAGAGAGAUUGUGGAGUCCACACAGAGAAGCAGAGAUUUCCCCAGAGAGGUUCAGGCUCUGAAGGUUGAGAGAGGUGACAGAGAGAGGUGGUGUGGUGGUGCAGGUGACUCCAGUCCAGUUACAGUGGUGAGUCUCAGAAGUGUUGGACCAUGUGGAGAGAUACUUCAUGGGGUCUUCAAUGGAGGCCUUAAAUGUGAGAAGGAUCUCUGCUUCAGAUGAAGCAGAGGCCACGAUGAAGAAUGCGAAGGUCAAAGAGAAGAACAGAGGAUAUGUGCAGAAGCUAGCCAUUGGAUUUGGAAGAGACCGAGUCACUCUGAGAGAGAGAGAGUGAGAGAGAGAGAGAGGGGAGCUGGCUGGUUAUGUUGCCUCAGUCUUUUGUAUAUAUUAGUGAAGUGGGAGACUGUGACUCGCUCGGAAAGAAGAGGAGAUGUUGAUUGGUUCUAGGGCAUCUAUACAAAAUUGAUGCAGAGUCAUCAACAUCAUAAUUAGGAGAUCUUUUUUAAUAAAAGAUAGAAUUUAAGAUGGAUUGUCUUUUAGGCAAAGAAAAUUUCCUAAAUUCCAUGAUGAGAAAAUAGUGGGAAUUCCCAAAAACUCCAUAACAGUAACUUUGGAAAUCCCUAACCCAUAAUUUAGACUUGCAUUCUAAUCAAAUAUCAUCCAGGGUAUGGGAAAUAAUUACUUGUGACCUACACAUUUGUUGAUAUCCCCACAAACAAACAAACAAACAAAACACAAUCAACAACUGAUUUGAAAUGUUAUACAAAUCAAAAUGGACUAACCCAAUUUCCCUAUACCCUCAUAUUUGAUGUCAUCAUGAUUCAUGGUGGAGUUGAAGAAUUAUGGUAUUGGGUCAAGGCCACAACUUUUACCUAAAGCAAUUAAGCCAAAAAAAUGAGAAAGAAAACAGGGAAGGGAAGAGGGAAUGCACAACCCGUGAGCAUAUGUAGAGACAGAAAAGGGGGGAGAGAGAGAAAGAGGAGAAUGAAGACAAAAGUGGAUUGAAGUCUACUCCUCAUGUGGCAACGUGGGAUCUGUUUUCAACGCCCCUUCUUCUCUAACUUGUACAGAAGCUGGGUGUGUGGGGAGGAGGAUACUGUAAUAUUUACUAAUGUUGUUAGUGUUGGCUGUAGUGUAAAAUAUGGCUGCCUGAAAAUGCAGAGGAAAUGAAGGAUGGGGUGAGUGGUCACUUUCAAAGUUGAAUAGAGUUGUUUUCUACUCCCAAAAUCCUAGAAAGAUAACCCGCUUUCAACGCUGAGACGCCCCUACCAACCACGUAAAUCAAAAAGCCCAAAGGGGUCCUCUCUCCCCCCUUCUCUCAUCUCUCAUCAAUGCCUGCUAUGUUUAUUCAAUGAAUCCAAUGCUGUAAUUAUAGUGGCCCCCCCUACUUUUAAUCUUAUUCUUCUAUACUUGUUUUUCAUUUUUUGUUUUAUUCUCGUCUUUUUCAUUUUUCCUUUUUCUUUUGUUACUGCCAUGUUCUGAAUAUAAAAUUUGAAAUUAAAUUUUUUUAAAUAAUAUAAAGGGUAUAAAAAUUUAUUGGAUUUAUAUAUAUAUAUAUAUAUAUAUAUAUUAUAUUAUAUAUAUAUAAAAGAGAAUUAUUAAAAAUUAAUUAAUUAAAAGAAAUGAAAUAACUCCCAAAUUUAUGAAUUUUAACAUUUUUCAUAUUUUUAUUUAAAAAAUAAUUUAUUUUAGACAUUAAUAUUUUUUAUUAUUUUAAAUAUUUUAAAAAUGUUUAUUUUUAUAAUAAGAAAUAAUGAUAUUUUUAUCAAAAUGAAAUCAAAAAAAUGAUGAAAAGUUAAAUUUCAAAAUUUGGGUUUUGAACUAAACUUUUAACAAUAUAACUUAUUAUUAAAUAUAUUCAUUUGAGCUCUUUGCACAUACAUAUUUUUCUUGUUCUUUUUUUAAAACAAAAAAUGAAUUUGAAGAAAAAGGAAGAAAAAAAGAAAAUAAAAAUAAAAUUGAAGAAUGUGUUUAGGGUUUGAAUUAGUAAGGUUGAAAAAGAUAAGGAAAGUUUGGAUGAAGGAUUUUAAUAAUUCUUUAUAAAAGAAAUGAAUAAUUAAUAUUAAAACCAAUUUAAAAGAGACUUUUUAGGAAGAUUAGAAACAUUUCUCCAAACUUAAAAUAUUUUUCUUGUCAAAAUCUAAUAAAAUUUUAAAGAUAUAAAAUACUAUUUAAAUGAUUAUUAAAGUAAUAAUUGAUGAAUGUUGCUCUUAAAAUAAUUUUUUGUUAAUUGAUAUAUUAUUAAAAAUACUAAAAAAAAUGAUUUAUAUUCAAAAAAUAAUUAAUUAUUUAAAAAAAUAUUUACAACAAAAAGAAAUUCAUUUUUUUCUCUCUAAAUUACAAAUUUUCUUCUUUUUGGUCGAAAUGGGAUCCAAAACUGAACAAGAAAAUCAAACAAAAAAAAAGUGAACAGAGAAAAAGGUAAUAAAAAAUUAAUCAUUAAAUACUUGAAAAUUUAGGAAGCAAAAGUGAUUGUGAAAUAGGCUGUCGUCCACUGAGACAAAAUGGGAUGAGUAGUGAGUACAUUAUUCGUACAACAGUGAAAAAGUGUAGGUGAAAAUGUCAAGCUGAAGCCUGAAGCUUUCUCCAUAUGCUGACUUUUUUUUUUUCACCCCUGUUUUGACUUUUAACCGUAGAAAUAUUAAGAGUCCAGGACAGCUAUUAUUGCAGCCUUCGGCCAAAGAAAAAUAAAGAAAAUUUUAUGUCACUUCAUCUCUUAAAUGUUGUUCAGAACUCAAAUAAUUAAACAAAAUUCCAUCCCACACCCACAUGGCCCAAAAGCACAUCUAGCUUGUGCUUUUUUCAAAAAGAAAAAAAAAAAAGGCAAAAAUGAAAAAACUUUGUUUGUUGUGUUGCCUGCAUGCCAUGUUAUCCCAUUAUUCUCCACUGAAAUGGUCAACAUGUCAUUUACCCAUCAAAUAAUGAUCAAAUGUAACUGUUAGUGGUCACUUGUUGAGAAUCCAAUAGUCCCAAGAAGUGGAAUUUUAUAUGAUGGGAGUUUGUUUGGAUGGUCACUCAAGAAGAGUCAACCCUUUUCACGGAUUGAUCUUGCAGUUUGAACACAUCGAGCUGUGUUUGUAUGCCUUGGAAUGAUCAAACCCAUAUGCAAAAACCGUUUUAUAAUGUGGGUUUUUUUUUUUUUUUUUUUUGAGAAUGUGACCUAAUUGGAAGAUGUGUUCAACCCUUAAAAAUCGUCUAAAACUUUGGUGUGUAAUGGGAGUAUGGGUAUUUGAGUUGGUUGAAAUUUGGCUCAUUUGAUUUUUGUUACUUUCCAAAGGUUUCCUAAGCAUGUUCUUGGGGUUAAAACUUUAUAAAAGAGUCAACACCCCAAAUCAAGUAUUGAGAGAAAAAAAUAAAUAAACUUUAAAAUAAUGAAAGCAUCCAAGGAACCAUACAAGGAGGGAGUGUUGAGAGUUGAGAGAGAAGAAGAGAAAGAAAGGAGGCAUGGGUGUUUGUGCUAUUGUGUGUUUUGUGAGAUAUAUAUAUAUAUAUUCCCUAGAUGACAAGUCCCAACAAUGGGGAUUAUAAGAGAGGGCUUUUUGUCUUUGGAGAGCGAACCAGACAUGAGAGUGGUGGGGCUGGAUGGAAAGUGGGUGUAAUCAAAUUUCACUUAUGGCAAUGAGGAAAGCUAUAACAACAAUAAUACGCAGCAACACUAUCAAACCCACCAACACCAGUCACCACCACCCCAUGCGGCCAUGCCCCUUUCAGAGGGGACUCUUGACUCUCAGAGAGAGUGGGGUCGGUUUCUAUUCUCUUAAUUUUGCAAUCCAUGUUCCCAAUAAUCCCUUAAAGGGUCUUUUCAUUUUUUUGGGUGUGGGGCGCCAUAGCCCACCAUUUUUAUAGGGUUCUUUGGGUUUCAUGAGGUUGGCCCUUUCCCGAUUAGGCUUUACAAGAAAAGGAUGUAUAGAGUGAGGUUUCAAUUCAUAGUCUAUGCGAGGUAGGGACAACGAGUUGUGUUUUGGUUUGGACAAGUCACUCCAUCUCAUUUAUUUAAAUUUGUUCGUAUUCUUAUAAGAAAAAAAUAAAUUUAUACAUAUCUGCCCGUUUAUUUUUUUAACCUAUGUCCUUUGAAAAUACUCAUUUUGACUUCAUCUUCCACUAACCAUUCGAAACAAGUUAUUAACAAUUUCAGAAAAAUUCUGUGGGCUUUGAUAGGCAAACUGACCUAUGGGCCUGAUGCUGGACUGGCUUAUUGUUAGGGAAGGUGGAGCUUGGGCUUGUUUUUUACCCUAAAAUCUAAUAUGAUUGAUCUACGAGCUAGUUUUCUAAUUUAAAAAUUCACAGGCAAAUUUUUUAAUUACAGUAGAUUUUUAAGUAGAUCCAAAAUGUUUAAAUAAUACUUUAUAAGAAAUUGCCUUAAUAUUUGUUUUUUUAUGUCACAUUGUUAUAACUCGUUUAAAAUUACAUUAUUAUGACCAUAUUAUAUCAAAUUAUGUCAUUAUGACCUAAUAAUAUGAAUGACUAUUCCCAUAACCUAUCUCAACUAUAUACUAAGUUGGCCAAUCAUGAAAAAUGUUAAGAAUGACCAUUCCUAUAUGUGAAUUAACAAAUUCCAGAACUACAAUAAAGCAUUGGGAGAAACCAUAAAAGAAUUAAAAAGAAAAAGAAAAUACCACAUUGAAAAUGGGAAUUUUGGAAAGCUGCUCAGCCGAGGUGGUAGAGAAGUUUGAGAUGGUGAGAUGGACAUGAGUGGAAUUUGGAAACGAAAAGUCCCUCUUUAAACGUGAGGCGGAUGCCCUUUUUCUCUGCCGUCAUCCCACUCAAUAACACUCAUCCAUCGCCGACUCAUCAGUAUUAUGUGGCACUUGCAUGGUUGCCCACGAUUUUCCACCACCAAACUUGUCCAAAAUCCCCCCCUUCAUCGUCAUCAUCUCUGUUCUUACUGUGCCUGAUUGAGAUUACCACUUCCAACCUUUUCCAGUUUCCUUUGGUUUUCAUUCAGUUGUCUCGGCGACCAAACAGGAGGCAGGCUUUCACUUCAAUGCUCAAUGCUGAGAACACGGCUUUUAACAUCUUUUCAUCUCCAACUUGUAGGAAAAGCCAAAAACAAAAUUUUUAAACUCACAAGCUAAAAAUAUAUUGAAAUCACUAUGACUAUGAGAACAUUUCAAUAAGCUAUUAAUAUAUAUACACCCUCAUGCAUUUCUCACUGAAAUUAAAACUGCGGGGGGAGGUUUUUCAUCAACAGCCAUCCCUUCCAAUCUAGAACCGCUUCCAGAAGUCCAACUACGUGGAAUAAACCCAACUUUGUUUUGAACAGAAUCAAAAGAUUCAAACAAUCAGGAAGAAAAGGCAUAUUUUGGCUUCCAAUCUAAGCAUCAUUGCAAUAAUCAUUUAGAUGAUGUUUGUUUUUUUGACUUUUUGCUGAAAAUCAUUUAGUUUUAAAAUUUAGGUUGUUUGUUUUUUUAUUUUUUCAUGACUUAUUAUAAACUUUUUACUAAAUAGAAAAAGCCAAAAUAUGUGACUUUUUCUAAAUAAAAAAAAUAACACAAUGGUUUUUUUUACUUUUUAAUACUUAAUAGAAAUAAAAUACUACAAAAACAAACAACCUAAUAUUUAAUACUAUUAAGUAUUAAGGUUCUAUUUAAAAUUAAGUAAAAAAACAAACACCACCUUAGUAAGUGAACACCACCUUAGUAAGUGAGAGAGAGAGAGAGGGACAGAGAUGCUGCUUCCAAUUUGAAUGGUUCAACUAGGAAUCAAACAUUUUCACAAUAAAAAAUUUCAGUAUGAAUUUUGAUUUUGAUACUCUUUUUUUUUAAAUACAUUUAUUACCCGGGCGUCUGUGAAAUCCAGUCAAUCCAUGGCAACAUUGAUCAGGCCCUUCAGCACAUUAAGAAGGGGCAUUUCUUUAUCUUAGGAAAGAAAUGAUUCAGUAUUCACGUACCGGAACCCUGCUAGCAAAUAUACAAAGGUACUCAAGGAACAUUCCAAACUGCUUCAGGAAUAUACAUUUUUACCACAGGCAGAGAGAUCUUAUGGAAAACCAGUCAGUCAAGCACAUAUUUCAUAACACAAGUCACAAGCACAUAAAAUGCCUGCUCAGUAUAUUUUCCAACAUAAGAGAGGAAGUUGAGAAAACACAUUUGCUGUUCAAGGAAUAUUUUCGAGUAAUCACUGUGGGCCACAAGUACAUGGCUCUGGAUCCAUAUUUCAAACGCAGGUAACAAUGAAAGAUGUUGUGCCACCACCAUCACCAUACAAAUAAACCAAUAACCAUAAAGCAACAAUAUGUAUCACUCACACAACCUCACAAAAGCUUCAUUCACCAACAAUUAAUACCACACCAUAUUCAGUGGGGGCGAUGCCAUGGGAGGAAUCACACAGCUUUACAUCAGAGGGAAAAAAACAGUAGGAACUAUGGAUCAGUAUUAACAGCAAUUAAAUAUGAAGCCAUAAUCAUCAAAGAGAAGCUGCAACAAUUUACCUAAUUGGCUAAUUAACAGAUUUAGUUGAAAGCAUUUCAAACCUCCCACUUGAGUCCAUUACAUAAUUUUUUGAUUCUUAAAUCAUUAAGACACUUGGCAAACCUCUUGACCCAAAUGUUUGCAUCAGCCACCUAUUAACAUGUCACCCUUCAAAGUAUGAUUAAUAUUUAAGACAAAUAAAACACAAACUGAGAACACAAAUUGAUAUCCACAAAGUUACACUUAAAACAGGCAGAAACAAGCAGUCAUUUCCCCAUGUUUCUAUAAAUCAAAUAAUAUCUCUUGUGCACCUUCAAACUUAAACAGGCCUAAUUGAAAGAAGACAAUUUUGUUAGACCAUAAGUGCAUUUUGCCACUUACCACCCUAUUUCUAUAAUUCUCUUUCCUUGCUAAGGGUUCAUUUGGUUCUUGGAAAGGAGGGGGGAGCGCUUAAAAAUGGAUUUAAAUCUUAAAACAUUCUCUCAUUUUCAUUCUUUCUGAGAAAUAAACAAACCUAAUAGACCGAGAAGAGGGAUUUAAUGAAUUUUCCUCUUCUUCAUCCUCAAGCAGUAGUGUGUUAGAAAAUGUGAUACAUUUCAUAGCAUCAUCAAGCAGCAGUGUGUUAGAAAAUGUGAUACAUUUCAUAGCAUCAUCACCCAUUUAAUUGACGUGAAAGGCUUCCAUGAUACUCCACUUCUUUGUUCCCUACUCAUUUAAUCAGUAGUGUCCUCCUCAAUCUCAACCUUCACCAUGGGCGAGGACUCCAAGCCAAAAGAGACAAUUUCAUAGCAAUUUAAACACAGCACAAAGAACUUGGCUCUUGUAUCUGAUAUUUUUUUUCUUAGGUAAUUCUUUUUCUUUUUCCAUUUUUCUUGUCCCCAUUGGGACUUCAACUUGGAACCUCCCAUAAAACUUCCCCAACCCUUUACCACUUGAGCCAAGCCUGAAGGGCUCUUGUAUCUGAAAAUUUUAACAAACUAAUUAAUCACCAUUUUUCUACACAAGAUUAAAAUAGAGAAUCUCGAUACAAAAGAGCUUACAAGACUACUAAACUAGUGCAUUUGAUAUGAUAACAAAGCAUCAAGUAAGUGACAUUCAAUCACCCUAAAAAAGAGCAGUGUGUGAAACCUAGGAUCAGAGAACCCACAUGAAUGAUAAAACCAGAAUCUACCAAUAUAGUCCUUAAUUUUAUCUAUUAAAAAUUUCCAAUUAUACUUUACAAAUGAUCAAAAUAAAGCUAAAAUGCACAUUCUCUACCAAAAACCAAAGUCCCUUACUCCAAAUAAUAGAACCCUAGCAGGUGGAGACAGUGGACAAGGGAAGAUGCUACAACAGUCACAGGAACUUGUAGCUUUAUAAAAGUUCUUCACCCUGAAGAGAGCCUUGUAAAAAUAAUUUUGUAUCACCCAAAGCCCAAUUAAUAGUAAGAGUGCACAUUUUCCCACAUGCACCUAAGGAGGUCCUGAUCCACCCAAUACUCCCAAAACCAAAAUACAGAAAGAACUUUUGAAUGACCUAAACAGUUGAAAACAAAAAUUUUAUAAAUAUACUUCUUGAAUACUAAAAACUUGGAACAUCUGCAGAUCCUAAAAUAUCCAAUGCUUAUACAACAUCAACCAACCUGCUAUAAUUUCUGAGCAUCUGCUGAAAUAACCCACCACUCCUUGAAGAAACCUCAACCAACCAUCUUAUUUGCAUAGACCAGAUAACAGAAACCUAGAAUAAAACUAGAAAAGCCCAGUGGUGGAUGACACUUUGACUGCACAGUGGAUGUAAAAAAAAAAAAUUAACUUUGGACCAGAAUUAUUAUAUGGGACAAACAUAACAUAAAAAAUACUUGCUAAAAGGGAACAAAUAACUGGCACAUCACAUCAUCUCAAAUUCAGGUCUCUCCCCCCAUGGUUCCUAUGGAUUGCCCAGUCACGCUUUGAUUACCGUCUGAUUAGUAUAGUGCCUAUCCAUAACAGAAAAACCUUCUUAGAAUUGCAUCAGUGGAGUACCUCCAAUAAGUCUAUUAGAAGUAUCAGUGGGCAAAGAUAACAAGAUGCAUCUAUACUAGUAAAAGAUGAAUAAAUAUUCAUAAAUAAAGCCUAAAAAGGAAACAUAAAAGUGUAAUAGAGCCAAUAGAAGCAUAUACCAAAUCUACAGUCCUAGUCUGAACUGUGAUAAAGACAUCCAAAAUCCAGUAAUCCUCCAGAUGAAUACAAUAACAGGAACAAAAGAUUGAAGUAAAAACAUGUCGAUUUACAACCAGGAAAAAGAAAGAUUCACCAUUCGUAUCUUGAUGACAUGGUUCCAAAUCUAUGUUGAACACAUCAGUGAAGUAUGAAGUUAAAAAUGGACCACCACCAAGAGAAAAAAAUAAAGAAAAAAAUAUUAACACACAUAUAUGUAUUUCAUACUAAUAAAUGGGGCAAAUACCAUUUAGCAUGUACUACCAGAGAGAAUGCGUAACAAUCAGUUGAGCAAAAUACAAUGUAACCACAAAGAUGUUCAUCAAACCAGCACAAAUAAAGACUUACACACAGGAGCCAACAUACCAAUCCUCGCCAAUCAACAAGGAAUAUAGAGUUCUUUAGACUGCAAAGAUGCCCUCACUCUCACAACCUGAACCAUUUGUAUCAAUAAAGGACACCUAACAAGACAAGCAGCCAACUUAGACAAAGACACAUGGAUGACAAGAGAAGCAUUUUACUUCAGACAUAAACCAUGGUACUUAGAUUUUAUCGAGCUUUUCAGCUUUGACAACAGGGUUGGCUUUAGCAAUAGCAUCCCGUGCAGCAGUCCGGUAAUCAAAGGGGCAGUCAUGUUUGUCAGAGUAGCGAUGAACUGCACAAAAGAGGUUACCACAUUUGCAAUUGAAACCCGUUAAACCUACACGCUUUCGACAUGCGGUGCACCGAUUUGGUCCCUCCUUGACCUUGGACUCAAUGAUCUGGUUUGAGGAUGAGUCAUUGGAAGCUUCAGCAGAAAUGGCCUUCACCUCCACUGGUCCAGCUUGCACAUCCACGGUACCAGCAACAAUGGGCUCCUUUCCAUUGCCGCUAGAGCUUCCAUUCACAAUGCUUCCAAUGGAUGAUGCUGCAAGUUUGGCUUGUUCUUGCUUCAGGGCCAAGUCCUUGUGGCACUUGGAACACAUAUUCAUGGUGGCAGCACUCCCAAAGAAGCCACAGUUAUUAAUGCAAAGAAUUGGGCCUUCUGGAGCUUGGCAUCCUGUCUCAUCAUGAGACUCCAUCUUUUAACCCUCCUGCACAUCAUGAUCCCAACAUAUCCAGAUAUAAAAUGUGAGCCAAACCCAAAUACAACUAUGUAUGAACAAACAUGCAUGCAUUUCUUGCAUAAGAGCAUACAUAUUACAACUCACACCAGAUGUUAAAACUAAGACAAGAAGACAUGAAGCUGUCAAGAAUGAGCACUUGAGUAUAAAAGCAGACAAAACAUGGAUAAAGUGAUAUAAUUUUAUAAUCAUUCCCAAAUAAGUAAUGUUCACAAUUCUGAGUGGUAAUUAUAUGUUCAUCAUUUCUCCUUUCAAUUCAAGCAAAAUGAGAUCAUUUCAUGCUAGUUUCAAUACUAUGCUAAGAAAUAAUAAUAAUAACAGCAAUAACACAUGGAACAUAUUGUUUAUAGUCCAGACCCUCAACUCUAGUCUGCCAACAAAAAAAAAAUCCAAACCUUUCAUUUAAUGUAUAUAAAAAUAAAAAAGCAGGUUAGUAAUCCUGAUCUAUAACAAGAAGAAAAGGGUCCAUGGCCUCGGUCACAUCCAAUAAGAACCAAACAUGAACAAGAAGCUCGUCAUCUCAAAUAGAAAACAACAAAUCAACACAUAAAACGUAAAGAAUCCCCUUUAAGCAACAAUCUUAAUCAAAAUGGGUAAUAUUCCGAAUGUGUUGAUAAAACAUUUGGCCACAAUAUUACAAGCCAUAUCAUCGAAAAUUAACAAAGCCCAUUGACAUGAUAAAAAAUUCAGCUUCUAAAAUAACAAGCAAAAGCACAUAUAUAUAACAAGGAAAUCAUCACAAUAUUAACCAGUACAGCGGAUAUUCCAGAUGGGUUGAUUAAAAACCCUAAAUUCCCCAACCCAGCGAUGAAUUUGGCCCAAGCUGUACAAGUCAUAUCGUAUUAAAUUCAAAACAUGUAUAUCUAAUAUAUUGAACACACAUCUUCUAAUAACAUUCAAAACAUGUAUAGCUAAAUACAUCUUCCCAAACGUAUAUAAAUCGAAUUUUAAAUAUAUUUCAUACUGAUAUAUUUAAAAUUCGCAGAAGAUAGAAAAGAGGCAGGAGUAAAAACCCUAUGAGAGAGACAUAGAGAAACCCUCACCUGAUUGGUUAGGUUUGGCCGAUCUCGACUCACAAAAUCGAACCAGAAGAUGAUUCCUGGCUCAAUUUUAAAACCCUAAUUCAAUUAUUUAAAUUUAAAAGGACAAAAAAAACCGGAAUCAAAGUCAAAUCGACAUGAAGAAAUUUGAAACUGAUUUGAUGAGAUAGCAAAAGCUUAACCUAAUUGAGGAGAUAAUCGUAUAUAAAUCGGAGAAAUAGAGACCAGCAGGAGAGAGGAGGAAGGGGUAGAGAGAGAGAGGGGUUGGGUUGGGUUCGGAAAAUGUGUCCCUGGUUCUAUUUAAGACUUUACCUUUUCUUUCUGCCAACGAUCCCUUUGAACUGAGUCGGUGCUUUCUCAUUUCCUAACCUUCAUUCUCCCUUUAUUUACUCAAUUGCCCUUCCCUUGUAUUUUUUAAAUAUUGUAGAAAAAUAUUAAUAAAUAUAUAAUAAAACUUUUUGAAAAUUUGGAGGGAAAAUGUUAUAAAAAAAAAAUUAAAAAUAGAGUUAGGGAAAAAUGAGUUUCAAAUCAUUAAUUUUAACAAAUAUAAAAAAACAACUUCGACUUCUUCACUCAUUUAAAAAUAUUUUAAAAUAUUUACUCUUUUUUAUAAUCGAAUAAUUAUUUUCCAAAAAUUAUCAUUUUCCUUUAUAAUGUUAAUAACAUCGAUAGACAAAAAAACUGAAAUUAGAUUUAAUAAAAUAAAAAAAUUUAAAUAUUUAAAAAUAUAAUUAAAACUAAAAAAUAUAUAUAUAUUAACUUUCAUUUAAUUAAAAUACUCUCCCAGAUAUUAUAGAUGUCGAAAAAGAAGUAUAAAUAUAAUGGGAGUAAGUAUUUUAUUUUUUAAAAUUUUAAUUAUAUAUAUAUAUAUAUAUAUUUUAGUUUUAAUUGAAUUUUUUAUUUUUAACAUUUCUUAUUUUAUUAUUGAUAUUAAUUAACAAAAUUUUUAUUCAAUUUUAUUACAAAAAAUAUGAGAAAAUGAAGGGAUUUAUAUAAUAUAAUAUAUAAAAUCACUAUUAAUUAGGGGAUAAGAAAUAUCUUAUUUAUUACAUGAGGUCUUAGAAAAAUUUUGAUAAAUUAAAUUUGAAUAAUUUUAUUUAAUAUUAUUAAAUGGUAUUUAAGAAAAUAAUUAUUUAACUUAUAAAAAAUACAUAUAUUUUUAAAUAGAUGAAGAUUUUUUUUAUAUAUUUUAAAAAUUGUGAGUUAAAACUCACUUUUGUUAUACUUUUUCUAUUAUUUUUUAUAUAAAGAAUUAAAAUUUAUUUUCAAUUAUAUUUAAUUUUUUCACAAUAUAAAAAUGAGUAUAAUAUUUUUUUUUUUUUUAAAUCAAAUAUAGCUAAUUUUGAAACCUGCAUUUUAUUAGGCAAAAUUAUAUCUUAAUAUAAUUCAUAAUAAAAAAUAAUACAAUUUUAUGUGAAUAUAAAAUAUUUAUUUAUAGUGAUUAUUUAGGAAAAGGGCAAAUCGGGAAAAACCCAUAUAAAAUAAGCAGUUUUCUCCUGAAAAGGACAAAAUUGGGUAUAAUGUCUGUGGCAUUAUUAUUGAGGGAGAAGGAGUAAUGAUUUCACUUUUUUAAAAAUAAAAUUAUUUAACUAAUUAUUUUUAUAAAUAAAUUAUUUAUGGAAACAAAUUAUUUUUCAUAGUUUUAUAAAUAAAUGAAAAUUAUUUGUCAAAAUAAUUAUUUUUAAAUUAAAUAUAUUUCAUAAAUUUUCAAAAAUUUUAAAUAGUUUUCAUUUUUUUUUUUUUUUGGUGUGUGUAUAACAGAAGCGACAUUUCCAAUCGAAAUAUCUAUAAAUGGCAAUAUCUAAAUGGAUGAGAUAUUUGAUUAUUUUUCUUCGUAAGGUGAUAAUUUUUAAAAAAAUAUGAACAAUGGCAAGAUCAGAGCCGCUCAUCUUAACAUUUAGGGCCCACCUACAUGGACGGGCCAGAUGGAUCAAGAUCCACUAGUCGGCGGGAAAAGGGAAAGUGAAGGUAGAAAUGGCGGGAACUCAACAAAACCCUAUAAAUUGAACCCAGGUUCAUUCCAUCUUCGAACCUUCGGUCUUUCCUUAGAAAAGAGAGGAAAACCAAAAUGGGGAAGAAAAAGAAAACUAGAGUUUCUGAUAACAUCGCCGAAGAAAAAGAGUAUGUUGGUCAGUCUUCCAAAGAAGAAGAGUAUGUUAGUCAGUCUUCCACAAACGAGAGGAGCCUGUACGAGGUAUGUGAAAAUGUUUCCGAUCCCCAUUUUCAUGGUAGGAGAUUUCAUUACUUGUUGACUGGUGUUUGGGAUUUUUUUUUAAAUUUUUUUUAGGGUUUUGGAUGAUCGUCUUUCUUGAUCUGGACUUUUUUUUUUAAGAUUAUUUUAUUUUUUGUAACUGGUAAUAUCAAAAUGUAUGGUUGAAAUUUGUUAAUGAAUGAACAGAUGCAUAAGACAACUUUCCUGGGUUAGGUGCGACAGUUAGUGGUUUGAUUGCAAAAGGGGUCGAUCCAAGUGAGUAUGAGUAGCGUACACAGCUCAUAAAAGAAAGAGAAAACAUUUUAGUGAGGGCAAAUUUAAUUCGGAAAAUCCACAAUCAUAAAUUCAUUAAAUAAAAUCACGGGAUCCUAAUGACCAAAAGAAACAAGGGUUUCAGAAUGAAGUUUCUUAGGGUUUAGUGCCGUUUUGGCAGGAAGUUGUGGAACUUAUUUAAGGGAGUUUCAUUACCAACUCUUGGGAGCUGGUUUUUGAAGGUAUUCCUAUUUCGCCAAUUCUUUGUGACUGGAAAGGGGUUUUAUUUUUUAUUUUAUUUUAUUUUUAUAUUUUUUGUGUUGCAUGCGAUCCCUUCAUUUUGUAUGCUUUUUAACCCUUAAUCAAAUCCAACUCCAGCAAGGCUAUCGAUUUGUAGAAAAUCCUGGCCGGUUUGGAGUUAGGGUUUUGAAAUAGUGGAGUGGUUCAUUCAUCAAGCAAACACAAAGCAUAAAUAAUGCCUGCUUUUUUUGCAAAAUAGUAAAUGGCACACUACAGAAUUUGUUUUUAGAUGAAUAUUUUGGGGAAUUAGUCAUUUUCCAUCUAAAGGAUUAUAGGAGCUGCUUACCCUUCAAUUAUUCAAUAAUUGAAGGCCACUCAGAGUGGGAUUAACUAAGCCACAAGAAGUUGAUGUCUUGUGGUAACUAUUAUUCUGUGGAAGGCAAUUGCAGUGCUUUGAUUAUGGAUUAAGAAUUUUAGCAAAGUGGACAGCUGGUCUUUCCAAUACCUUGGUUGGACUCCUUUUCUGGAUUCCUGGGACAGAAUCUCUCCCAAUGUGGGCUGAUCUUGCUUGUAGGUUGCCAUAGGUGGUUAGAUGCUGCCUUCCAGUUUUGGUGUUGCUUUCAUUUGACCUUUGCAUGGCUAUGCGUAUUUGUUCCUAUCUUCUGAUGCAAAUUAUUCUCAUUGGAAUCAUGUCUCCGUUCCCUGCAAGGGGGGGAAAAUGCCUGCUGUGAAACAUGCCAUUUAUUGUGGUUGCUGAUUAGAUUCAAUGGUGUCGUUGUUUUGCAUGGUUCCAGACAUUUAUCUGGUGACACUGAUUUACCCUGGACUGAGAGCAAUAAAAUAUCCCAUGCUGUUGAUCCAAGUGGAGGGCAUUUUACAGAAAAUCUUCUCACAUGGUACUUGGACAGAGCACUUGAAUGUGUUCUCUUGCAGAGGAUAUUUCUUCUUGCAUUGCCUGUUUGUCUAUGCCUUUCCAUUCUUAAAUGAUAAAGGGUACAAGCUUCAAAAGGGUUGCUUUGGCCCUGUUUAGAAAGGAUUUUUAUUUUUUGGAAGGGGUGGGGAUGUGUGGGUGUUAUGAUGUAUGAUGAGAAAACAAGAGCUUCUAGAAGGUAAAUCCAGUUUCAACUCUUGAAAUUCUUUAGGCUUAAAUCCUGAUUCAUUUCAAGCUCUCUAGUUCUAUAUUUUGGAGUUAAAUUGGUAUAAUUAGCCUUUGAUUGGUAUUUUGAUAAUUCUAGUUUAAAUCCCUUGUAUCAAAUGCCAAAUUAUGAUCAGCAGAGUAGUUCCUGCAUGUCUACCCUUGUUUAGAUCAAUUUCAUAUAUGGCUUAACAUGUUUAAUCUCACUCUAGCAAAUAAUUAUUAUUUUUUUUAUAAGCAAAAAUGCAUAUAAAUUAAAACAUGCCAAAAGGAUGCACCACAGUACACAGGAUGUAUACAAAUAUUGCCUAAAAGCACAAGAAACAAGAGAGAACACAAAAAACAAUACCCUCUCUUAACAAGAAACUAACCAUUCUACAAAAUCUAUGUCUAUGUAUAUCUUUACCCAAUUAAACAAAUUACUAAAUAUUGAUCCAAAGGCUCUUUUCCUUCCAAACAGUUCAAAAAAUAGACAAAGGAGCUGCUCUCCAAACCUUAUUAUCCCUUUUACCUGCAAAGGAACUAGGCCAUCCCAGGAGAGCCUCCUUAACGAUAGCAACUUCCACCCAUUGGAUUCUGAAAAGAGCAAACAGCACCUGCCAAAGGACCCUGUCUUAGCACAUAGUAAUGAUCUUAUGACUGUUGUAAAUCUAUUGUGGUUUGAGGCUAAGUUGCUGAUUUUAAUUUCUCAUCUGCGAUUCCUUAUCUCAAGUUUCAUAUCCAAGCUCCAUGUUACUCCCUUUUUUAAUGUGGAAUCAGUAGGUUAGUGUUCUUGAUUUUACUGGGUCUUUAGAAGAUUGUUUUGGCUUGGUUUAGUUUUCAUGUUUGUCUUUUCUAAUAGCUGCUAUUCUUUGUUUGGUUCUACCAUCAAGAAUCCUUGGGAAGAUGAUGUUGAUGCAUGAAAGUUAACUACACUACAUUAAAAACAUAAUUAAAGGGAUUUUCUUGCUAUGAAUUAUCAGAAUAAAGCUGUCUUUGACUUCUAAUUAACAUGAUAAUGGUUGUUUGGUGCUUGGUCCUCAUUUAUUUGUCUUCCUUUAUUCGAUGUCCCCCUGUUUACUUUAAUAGACUUGAUUGCAAUGAGUUGCAUGUUCAAAUUUCAUUUCAUAUUUUGUAAAAGAUCUCCCUGUUCUCCCAUUCUCCCUCUUCUUGGUUUACUGAUGUACUUUUUUUUUAUUACAAUAAAAUUUCAAGUGGAGCAAGAGAUGCUGAAUAAUAACCUUGUGUCUUACAGGUUCUUGGUGUGGAAAAGACGGCAUCUCAGCAGGAAAUUAAGAAAGCUUACUAUAAGUUGGCAUUGCGGCUCCAUCCUGAUAAAAAUCCUGGUGAUGAGGUGCAUUUGAUUUCUAAUGAUGCCAAAAUCCUAUUCUCCAUAUAUCCGUUGCAAGGGUGGUUUUCUGGUUGUUACCCUUUGUUUUUUUCCCUCAUGUAGGAAGCCAAGGAAAAAUUUCAGCAACUACAAAAGGUGAUAUCAAUUCUUGGUGAUGAAGAGAAAAGGGCACUCUAUGAUCAGACUGGUUGUGUUGAUGAUGCUGUAAGUGAAUAUGAAAACCUUUUGUUUUGUAUGUUCUUUUUUAAUGGCAUUUGAGGGCACAAAUGUGUCCAUAAGAAUUGAUGAUAUCUAUUGAUCAGGAAGUGUGCAUCUUAUUUCUCAAUUUUUUUAUGAUCAGGACCUUGCUGGUGAAGUUGUUCAGAAUUUGCAUGAGUUUUUCAGAACCAUGUACAAAAAGGUCAUAUCAUUUUGCCUUAUUAUGGAAAAUUUCUGAUUUCACGUAAUCCUCCUAUUUAUUUUCAGACUGGAAAGAUGACAUGUGAACACUUGCAUUGGUAGCAGGUUACUGAGGCAGAUAUUGAAGAGUUUGAAGCAAACUACAGAGGAUCUGAUUCAGAGAAGAAUGAUUUGAUUGACCUGUACAAAAAGUGCAAGGGUAAUAUGAACAGGUACAAUAGCAAAUGUGUUUCCCUUCUUUUUUUUUUUUUAGGCUUGCCGGAUCAGCCUCUAAUCUGCUUUCCUUCUCAGGCUUUUCUGUUCAAUGCUUUGUUCUGACCCUAAGCUGGAUUCACACCGAUUCAAGGAUAUUCUUGAUGAGGCAAUAUCAGCAGGUAAGGGUUCUACUAGCUUUCUUUUUGUUUUUUUCCCUUCCUGAGAUAAGUUGUCUGAUAUUUAGCCAUUCUAUUUUCUUGGAAUUAGUGAAAACCCCUAAUGUGAGGCCUCAGAACUAGCUAUAAACUAAUAAGUAGAAAAUAAGCAUAUGAUAAAAAUCAGAAAAUAAAGAUCUGAUGACCCAUUGGCCCCACCCUAUAGGUCCACAUAGAAAAAUAACAUGGUGAAAUCAUUGUUAUUAUCUUCUUUGUUGGGGACCCAUUUAAGUUGUUGGCCUGUACUACUUGACUGUUGUUUUGUUUAAGAAACCAUAUUUAUAGCCAUGCUUCACAUGUACAUUGCUGACCAUGCACAGCAUAUUCUGCCACAAUUACACUUAAUCAUUCUCUUUUUCACAUAGGAGAGCUGAAGGCAACCAAAGUCUACCAGAAAUGGGCAAAACAAGUGUCUGAAGCAAAACCACCUACUAGUCCUUUAAGGAAGAGAGGAAAGUGAGUCAUCUCAACUUCAGAGUUGUGUUUUCAUGCUUACAGUAGUUUUAACUUUUAUGACCCCUGGAUGAAUAAUAUGCCUUUGACAGAUCAAAUAAAGAGUCAGAAUCAGAUCUAUUAGCAAUUAUAUCUCAGCGCAGAAGUGAAAGGAAAGACCGUUUUGAUUCAAUGUUCUCAUCUCUGGUGUCUAAAUAUGGUGGGAGUGGACAAGUUUCAGAACCCACUGAAGAAGAAUUUGAGGCCACACAAAGAAAGUUAGAGAGCCUCAAGGCAUCCAAAAAGUCCAAGCGGAAGUAACUGAACAACUCAAUAGAAUUUCUGUGUACAAAUUUUGUUUGCCUGUGAGCAUUUUGUGGUUUCCUUAUUCUUGGUACUUAUAUAUAGCUUUCGGAUUGUAUGAUUAUUGUAAACUGUCUUUUCUUAAGGAUUUUGGAUGAUUUCUCCUUUGAUUAGAUGGUCUGUAUGUCAGGUUACACGAAAAUAGAUUGAAUAACAAGACAAAACCAACAAAAAGUGAAGUAGAAUUGCAUUGCAUUGAAGAACCGUGGCAUUAAAAGGAGUGUAGGCCAUAUGAUAAUGUUAAAAUGAUAUUGUGGUAAGACAGGAAAAUAUAGAUUUAGAAAUGACCUGCAUUUGUGGAAGUUUGAAGUAGCACUAAUAUUGGACAGGGGAAAGUUGAUUAAGCUGGUUUAAUGAUACGCAUUAAGAACCAAUUAUUGCACCAAUUGAGGUGUGGUCCAUGGUGAUCUGCUUUUUAGGAGAUUGAUGAAACGGAGCUGUAAUUUGGGCGGCUGUCAUAUGAUUAUGUACAACCUCUAUAGAUGGCCCUCUUGCAACCAAAAUCAGGUGGCAUCAAAUAAAACUUAUCCAUUGGAAUGAGCUAUGAGCUAUGAGCUUGGGCAGAGAAGAAGUAAUGACUAAAGACCAUUUUUUUCGCAGAUUUGUUUGCAUUCUUUGCCCUCUAACCCAAAAUGAAGCUAGAAAGAAAGGCCGAAAAGUGAACAAAAUGCUUUACCCAAAACUCAUGCCUAACAAGGAAGAAAUUCUCAAAUUGAUCCAUUAGGUCUUCAGCAGUGUUACAAUUCUGUCCUCUACCCGCUUAGGACAUAAUGAAAACAACUUCACCUAUGGCAUGCUUAGAUGAAUGUUAUGUGAAGUGUAGGCGGAUGGACCAUUUGGUCUCCCUCCCUGUUUGUUUGCACUUUUUGAUGCAUCUGGGUCAAAUCACCAAGAAAAGCAUUAGGAUCCAAAACUUAUAUCAUCUUCCUUCGGCUUUGCUUGCUGCAUGUGUUCCAACAUCCAUGCCCUCUGCUUUAAUUUCUUUUCUAUUUCCUACCAAACAUGUUUACAAUAAGUAUGUCACAUUCUGAUAAUUUGGGGAAAGUAUAUAAUCUUUCAGCAUUCAGCUUGCCAAAUCAAGGCUAGUUCUUUUAAUACAGAAAGAUUUGCAUCAGACCCAUCUUUCACAACUAAAACAUGACCACUACUUACAAUAGUUACCUCUUACCUUAUUAUUACUUAGAGCAGAAGUAAAGAUUAGGAGUUCUUAUGAAUUGGGUAUCUAUUUCCUUAAUAAAAUGACUGUUGUACAGCAAGUUUGGAUGCUCAACUGGCAGUUUCCAUAUUGGGGCCCUAUGUACCUCAAAAAAGAUUCCUUUACAAUUGAAAAUGGAUAGCACAUACACCAAAAGUCUCAUUGACGAAGGGAGGUGGAUGAUGACAAGGAGUUGGUGGUCUAGCUUAAACCAUCAGGCAGUUCAACCACAGCAUAAUUUCAGCUAUUGCCCACCAUUUGGAUGAGCUGAUGAGGGUCAGGUAUGCUUUUCACCUUUCUACUCAGUUCCCUUUUUUCCAAUGCAUUAGGUUUAUAUGCUCAUUUAGUAAAGGUUUUGACAGUUGAUGGUGGGAAAAUUUGAGUCAACUCAAUUGAAUUUGUGGCAAAAAGUAAAUAAAAUUGCCCACAAUUUGCAUAUUCAGAAGCAUGAUUACACCCAAAGAUGGGAAAUCAUGAAGUGUUUCGGUGUGUGAAAAAGGUUUAAGGUACCCAUGAUUCCAUAAUGGGUGUGGCUGGCCAGCACAUCACAGCGCAAACCAAAUGACUUUGUGGGCAGAUCCUAGCAAUUGGGGUAAGUCUAAAAUUGGAUGAGAGCUUCAGUUGGAGGAUGGUGACAUCACAACUGCAUGCUGUGAAAGAAUUCCCCUGGUCUUCAUGAUCCUCCAUGAAUCUGCAAAUGCAAGCAAAGCUUUGCCUCUUCUCUAGUCUUCCAUGCCUGUCACUGAAAUAACUUUUUUGCCUUUACUCUCUCUCCCCCUCUCCCUCUCUGGGGUAGAUAAUCAACUUUUCAAUUAAGUAUCAUACUUGGUAAAUAAUCACCUUUUGAAUUAAGUAUUGCAUUUGAGCUUUGUUGCUUUUCUUGGGUUUUCCCUUCCAUCUGUCUCUGUCUCUCUCUCUAUCUAUCUCUAUUUUUGUUGGCCAGUAAUCGCCUUUUCAAUUAUUAUAUUAGUGCUAUGUCGCUUUUACUUGAGUUUGUCUUCCCACCUUUUUCUCAUUUAUGUUGUAAUUAAUAUCAUUUACUGUGGAAUUAAGCUUUACUCAAGUUCGUCUCUUCCUACCUAUAAGACCCCUCAAGGUUUCUGGAACUUCAUUAGUCUCAAGAGUCAUCCCUUGGAACCUUUUACGCCCGUAAUUGUUGCUCCAUGCACUCAAAUUUCCCUUUUCUGUUUAUUUUUGCUACAGAAUUGUCAUCCAAUUGUGAGAUUUCUGAAGUAGAUCCAAAUUGCAGACACUUAGGUUUACUGCUCGAGCUGGACUUUACCUCUCUGUGAUUCUUUUGCUUUUCUUGAAGGUCUUCAUGGAGACGGAGGAAAGUGAUACGAGGCUGAAAAUGGAAGAUUAUGAAGUUAUAGAGCAAAUUGGAAGAGGAGCAUUCGGUUCUGCCUUUCUUGUUCUCAACAAGACUGAGAAAAAGAAGUAAGAUGAUUAAUACCCUACCAUGUUUGUCUCGGUUUUGUUCUUUUCUCUACCUCGGUGGAUCUCAGAAUUAUGUGAAUUUUUAAUGAGAUUUGACUACCCAUCUUCUUUUUCUAUCCUUUCCUGUACAGUCCAUUCCUUAGAUGAUGAUUUUUCAAGGAACAAUGGAGGAAAAUCAAAAUUCUGUGUUCAAUCACAGAAAUUAUCUUCAAUAAAAACACAAUCGUUUUCUCAAAGCUGUAAAUUCAGAUUCCACUUUGUUUGAUUGUGUGUUUUUCUGUUUAAUAGAUAUGUUCUAAAGAAGAUUCGUGUGGCUAAGCAAACAGAGAAGUUCAAGCGUACAGCACACCAAGAGGUCACCUCGACUAAACCCUUUUAAUAUGUUUUCUAUAUCUUCCUUUUGAGCAUUGGAUUCAGCAUCUUUUCAUACCGUCUACCUGUAUUGCUUUAGGCAUUAUACAUGAAUUCAAUGCUUGUUUUCUGCUUACCUAACUCAAUCUUAGUCUCGAUCGAAUCAUCCCCAGUGCAUUAAUAGGAAACAGCUGCAAAUAUAAGAAUGCAAUACGUAGGAAAUCAUCACAAACUAUGAAAAAGGACCCAAGCAUGUAACUAAUCCUUGAUGGUGCCCUUUUCGCAGCAAACAAACUUCUUAUCACUUGCUACUUGAAUAUGUUCAUAAUUGAUUGAUAUUAGAUAUUCUCAUUUACAAUAAUUGUAGAUGGAGCUGAUUGCCAGACUAGAUAACCCAUAUAUAGUGGAAUACAAGGAUGCUUGGGUGGACAAGGUAAGUGCAUGAUGUCUUUGUGUUUAGUUGCUUUUGGAAUUUAAACAACAUAAAGCAUUUUGUAGCAUGGAAAAUUGUCGCUAUUUCAGCUAUUUUUAGUCCGAUACAAAUGGGUGUUUUGCUUUAUAUUUGGCAGGGAUGCUCUGUAUGCAUUGUGACUGGCUACUGUGAAGGAGGCGACAUGUAAGUAAUCACCAUCUCUUUGAGCUGUCAAUGGCACAAAUGGGAUAUAAUGGACCCACUUCUCAGAGAUAAAGCAGCACUUUCAAAUGAUUGACUAAGCCAAACCACCCACCCUACUUCAAUUCUUCCCACCUUCAACUCAAUAUAUCAGGAUAAACAUGUCUGACAACUAAAAUAUGCCUUAAAUAGUCUGUUAGAAUGAAAAACUAAUGUUUUUGGAUGAAUAGGGCUGGGGCCAUAAAGAAGGCCAGAGGAGCAUUGUUUCCAGAGGAGGUAAACAGAAAGUUCCUUUCUGAAAUCAAAAUCCUAUAUAUGUACCUACAUGAUGCUCAUAUUCUACAUGGCUCUUUUUUUUGGCUCCUUAGAAGCUCUGCAAGUGGCUGACUCAGUUGUUGCUAGCAGUGGACUAUCUGCAUUCAAACCGUGUCCUUCAUAGAGAUCUUAAGGUACAAAUAUACACUAAUUCCUGAAUAAAAUUGAUUAAAACAGCACUGUCAGUGACAGAGUAACAAUAAUGUUGCUUAAUUUCAGUGUUCCAACAUAUUCCUCACAAAGGAGAGCGACAUCCGGCUUGGUAAGAAGACAAAAGUCUCGCUGAAAGAGAGGGAAUUUUUUCUGCAUCAAGUUUGGGUUCCCUUGUCUUGACGUCUUAUGAGAAAUAUUUAUCUUUAAUGGAAUAUACAGGUGAUUUUGGACUUGCAAAAUUGCUCAGCACGGAAGACCUUGCUUCCUCGGUAGGUACCUGUUUAUCCACCUAAAAUGUUGUUCUUAUGCUUCAUGUCAAUGUCUUGACAUGCAAACUCUACCAACUUGGAACUGUUCCAAACUCCAUAUGGAUCCAUCACUGCACCCAAACAUGGUAUUUUCCUAAUCUAGUUGUUCACUUCAACCUAUUUUCAACAUCAUCUGUAAUUUAUAUAGGUUGUGGGUACUCCCAACUACAUGUGUCCUGAGCUUCUAGCAGAUAUACCUUAUGGAUACAAAUCUGAUAUAUGGUCACUAGGUAAGAAACCCAAAAACAUAGUUCUCAUUUUUAUGCUGUUCCGUUGAUGAUUCUGUUAUGAAUAACAUGCUUCCACUACUUCAGGUUGCUGCAUGUUUGAAAUUGCUGCACAUCAACCAGCAUUCAGAGCCCCUGUAAGUUUAAGCAUGAGCCAUAUUUUAUGGCGUCAAAUCACUUGGCCACAGUUGGAGCAUAUGAAAUUUACUCACAGCAUGAACUUCAUGGUAACAUAAAAUCUAUUCAUAACUCUUUCUAUCAAUCAGGAUAUGGCUGGACUAAUCAACAAGAUAAACAGAUCCUCCAUUUCUCCUCUCCCAAUUGUAUAUUCCUCCACAUUGUAAGUAUUUUCUUCUCUGAAAAAGAUCAAUCAAAUAAGUUUCUCUUAGUAAAUACUGAAAAUGUCUAUAGCAAUCAUGUAUGAUGUGCCUUUCUUGUCAAUCCUGCAACUGAGUUUACAGGAAACAGAUUAUCAAGAGUAUGCUGCGGAAGAAUCCAGAACACAGGCCAACUGUGAGUUCAAGUAGCCUGUAGCCCUAGCCCCACCCUUGCAUAUAAUCAAUUUUAACACCAUCCAUUCUCUUACUGGCGCAUUUUAAAUUUCAGGCUGCAGAAUUGUUAAGGCAUCCUCAUUUACAACCAUACCUGGUCCGCUGCCGCAACACAUCAUCCAUCUUUCUUCCUGUAAAGUCUGAGCACAUUUCAAAGGAUAAAACACCGAGAAAACCAUCACCUAUCAAACAUAGUGCUGGAAAGGACAAUAGAGACAAAGAGGGAAGAGUACUCAAAAUGGCGGGUAGUGUUGAGCCAUUGGAGGAAAAUGCAAAUGUUCAGCCAAGGAAUCUACAGAACAAAGCAAAGCCAACACCCAUAGUUCAAACUGAAGAAAACCUAGAGACCAAGAGAGUGGAUCCUACAAGCUAUCCUGAGGAAGUAUCCAAUGCUGUUGAGAGUUCAAAAGGUGGGUCUACAAGCUGUGCCACAACCAUUACCAAUGAAGAUGAGCAGGUGAACGGUAUCCUUUUAGCACAGAAGGAAAGCCUUGACACCGAAACUUCUACCGGGAGUACACCAAAUUCUCAGCCUGGAGAUGAAAAAGAACAAGACGAAUCAGAAUCCGCUCCCAAACAUUUUGCGCAAAUUCAAGAUGGUGAUAUCAAGAAUGUAACCUCAGAGGAUGAUGCAAUGGAAUCCAACACACAAGUUCCUGCAGGGGCUGAAACAGAGAGCAAGAGUCUUCAGCCUGGAAAUCAUGGGGCAAUGGCAACAUCCAGUGCCAACUCUACAGAUAAAGGUGGCUCUCUUGAUGAUGAAUCAUCAAAUUCAUCAUCAGCCACACAAGGUAUUGAAUAUGAACCUAAUGCAGAACCCAGUUGCUGUCUACAGAAAAUGGAAAGCCCCGAUUCCCAGGCAGAAGGCGGGGCUCAAAUUGACUACAUCUCAUCAGAAAGCAACGACAUACUCCCAUGUAAGGAUGAAGCAGGAGCAAAAACAGACAAUACUAGUUGCUCCAUGGUAAUGGCGAAAGACGAUAUGAAUACGAUGAAUAAAGCUCCAAGCGAAGUUUCAUUGCUGAGCACACUGACUGCAGUUGGUGGAGAUGAAACUAAAGGCGAAUGGGAUAACCCGAGCCAGCAGAGGGCCGACGCGCUAGAGUCCCUGCUUGAGCUAUGUGCACGGCUGCUUCAACAGGACAAACUGGAAGAGCUUGCUGGUGUGCUGAAACCUUUCGGAGAAGAAGCUGUCUCGUCCAGAGAAACUGCAAUUUGGUUGACAAAGAGCCUCAUGACUGCACAAAAAUUUCUUGGAGGAGCCUAAUUUAUCAACAACUGAGAUGGUUUGAAUUUUUUCAAUAAAUUAUUGUAAAGGAAAAUGGCCUUCUGUUAACUAUGUUUCUUCCAAAAUGUUUGCUUGAUUCUCACAUAUUAUCCUGUCCUAUCCUCCACAUGAGCUCACCCCACCUGACUAUGUCAUAAAAAUUUGUUUGUGUAAUCUCCAUUUCUGUCUGUUGUGUAAUCGUUUGCAGCAUGGAUUAAAGCUUUCUGAAAUUGAUUAUAUAUAAUCUUGUCUGGGAUCAGUCUAGGUGAUGAGAAAAAUGGGAAUCCUGAGAAACCCAUAUAGCAAAAUCCUUGUUUUAUUUCAAUGUAUCAUAGAAAAGUAUCCAGACUAACAAACACAUGAUACCAACAGAAUUCAAGAAACAUAGUGAUAAAAAAGUUCAACCACCAUUCUCUUCUCUAAUCAUUCCUCUCUCUCCUUUCCAUGUCUUCUCUUCUGAGCUGAGAGUUCAGUGCAAGUAGAAGGCGAAGAAUGAGAGGACGGAGGCUCCGACCAACGACCCCAGAACAGGCAAAGUUGCUUGGGCAGCAUUGGAUGGUCCUGGUGCGGGAGACAUGACCUCAUCUGAAGCCAUGGCGGCGCUCAUGGAGGCGGCAGCGAUGAGAACAGCGCAUGAGAUCUUCUUCAUGUCCAUGAUGAUAUUGAAUUCUGAAUUUGUUGUUAAUUUAGAGUUUGGAAAAUAAAAGGAUUUGAGAGAAUUUGCAGAGACCCGCCUCGGUGACUAAUAAAUUUUUGGAGCAGGUCUGAAGAAAAAUGAAGGUGGUGGAGAGGAUUUUAUAGGGAGAAAUUUGUGCUAUUUUUAGGGUAGAAGAAGCUGUUUGUUAGAGGUGCUAUGUUUAGUAGGUUUUGCAAGGAGUUAGUGGCUUAUGUUAGUGGGUCAAUAUGGAUGGUUCCUAGUGGUAUCAAUGGUUUGACCAUUUCAAACGCCUAGGGAAAUAACGAAUGGUACCAAUUUUUUAAUGUAGAACUAUAAAUUUUGAAAUACAAACAUUUAGGAUUAAGUAAAAAAAUAUAUAUAAAGUAAUAAAAUCAAAAUAAAAAGCAAUGAAAUAAAAUAUAAAAUAAUAAUUACACAUAUUACAUAUAAUAUAAUGAUAUUAUUGAUUAAGGGUGAUAAACUUCAAUAUAAUUCGUUAACACAGAUUCAAACCUAAUACAUUUUUCACAAAUUUGGAUUGAGUAUAAUCAUGUUUGAAUAUAAUUUAUAAGGUAUGGCCUAAAGUAUCAUCAUUGUUACAAAGACGAGAUAAGGUGACAGAUACUUCUUUGAAGUGAACGAGUUGUUCCAAUCUAGCACGUAGAAUAGAUAUCGGAAAGAUAAGACAAUUCUUAUAGGGCAAAGGAAUACAUAAAGAUAAAUCUUCAUCCAUGUGCAUGGAAAUAACUACAAGAGGGUUUGGUCUAGAUAAAUAGGUUGUUAUAUCUAGAGUUUGACCUCGGCUAUCAAAAUGCAAUAGUUGGCCUAUAAUUGGAUCAAAGAAUACCUUAAGAUUCAAUGAUUGCAGAUAAUAUAAUUAAUUUAACUAUAAUUGUAAUGUAUUUAACCCAUUCAUUUCAAGCUUACAUUUAAAUAAAUAAGUUAAAUUAAAUCAUUAAAAAUGUGACGUUAGGAGGCUAAUCACAUAGACUUAUAAAAAAUCUAAAUCAACUUAAUUAUUAAACAAGAUAACCUAAUUAUUAUUAAAUAGGUUAAAUGGAUAACAUGAUAUAUUACUUAUUUAAUUAUGUCAUAUUUGAUUUUAUAUUUUUAAUUUAAUUAUUAUUUAGGUUGUGGUAUUUAGAAAAACGCUUUAAACUUUACUCAUCAUAGAUACAAACCACCGAAACUAAUUUCCACUCUGCUGUUAAUGCAUAUAUAUCGACGUUUAAAAAAGUAGUGGUCAUUAUUUGAAGGGCUUCAUCUGGAAACCAAGAAUAGAUAAUUUUAAUACAAGAUUGAAAUGGGUUUUCAAAAAUUAAAAGUUACUUGGACCUAGAAAGUCUUAUAGGAAGGAAAAUGAUAUCUCACAAUUAUGAUAAUGCGAAGACCAUGGAAGAGAUGAGUAAAAAAGUUUCUAAUCCAUAUCCUCGUAAGAAUAUUGAGAAUGUUUCGACAAUUUUUAUAUUAUGCAUUAAGUGUAUAAUAUGUUUAUGAAAAGCAAGUAAAAAAAUAUAUAUUUUUGAGGUAAAAUAGAAUUAAUUAGUAAUUAUUUUCAAAUUUUGAAAAUUAAUUUUGAACCUAUUGCCAAAAAUAACCCUACCUCUCCACAUUACUUGGUAUCCCAGGCCCAGCCCCCUGAAUUAUUGAAAACUAAUGAGUGAUGAGUGAUGUCUGAAUUCAAAGGAUGUGGCGGUUGAAGUGAAAGCCACCCCCUCUCUGCUUUGGCCCACGAUGACCAGAAAAUUAUCAUUUCUGACAGCUUAACGGCUAGUUUUCCUUUCCAUUUUAUAACGCCACCUCACCUAAUUUCACCUUCGUCGUGGACAUGCCACCUCGCAAUGCAUCCUACGCCUUCCCCCCUUCUACACCCAUCAUUUUUUUUAUUCCUCUAAAAAUAAAUCACAUAAAAAAUUUAAAUCUCUCCUAAAAUUUUUAAAAAUAAUAAAUGAAAAAUAAUGAAGAAAAUAUUUAAUAAAAUUCCAAAUUAAUGAAAAUUCAAUGUAUUUAAUUAAAAUCUAAGAAAUUUUUAGUCCAAAAUAAUAAUAAUUAAAAGUAUUUUUGACAAUAAAACAAAAAAUUAUUUUCAAACAGAUCCGGCCCUCUCAUUCCACGUGUUUAAACGACUAAUAUACCCUAAUACCCCUCACCCAAAUCGAGGUAGAUCUCAGUGAUUUGAUGUGACGCGGACUACGAAACGAUUCGUGUUCCGAAUCCAACGGACGCCAUUGCAUCUACGCCACGCCAACCCUCGCGAUGAGAACAUCGGGGAAAGUACACUGCAUCGUAAACCACAAAAAGCUUCCGAAAAGCCCAAUAAAUCACUGCCACGUAUGAGUACAGCCACGUGUUAUCAUAUCAUUACAAAUGUCGAAUUCAACGUUUGUGGCUUUGGGCCAUUCUGGGCCCCAACGUUUCGGACCCGAUACCGAACUGUCUCUCGCCGCGGGCCCACCGUAGUAGUAUCCCAAAAGGCAUAACAAAGCAAUAAAAAUGAGGAUUUAAAUCCCAAUAUUUCUCUAUAAAUUCAAUCUCUCCGGCAUCGAGCCAAACACACCUCACUUCUUUUCACAGAACAUCCUGCAUAGCAUUCAAUACAGUAUUCAACAGAAUGCAUCCCGCCACUUUCGCUGCAAUCCACAUAAUGAUGAUCGCAUUUCUAGUGUUCGCGUUCGGAUCUCCGGUUACGGCACAGGACGCCAUAGCGCCUUCACCGGAAAUGGACACCGGAGCUGCUUUUGCGCUGCCGGUUUCUGGUAUUUUGGUUGUUUCUUCUGUUAUAAUAUCUCUGAGCAGGGCUUUGUGGUGGUGAAUUUCGAAGUUUUGGUACGUUGUCUGUAACUAUGCCUCUGUUGCUGAGUAUUGUGUGGAUGUGUGGUGAAGGUAAAAGAGGCUUUGUGCGAUGUUUUUAUGUUUCUGGUGGAGAGGAGGAGAGAUGUGAUUAUGAUUUUGCAAUUGAUGUGAUUUUAUGAAUGAUAAAUAAAUUCACAUUAAUUAAUUCUUUUUUUUUUUCUCUGUUCUGUUAUCAAAGUUCUUCCAAAAUAAAUAAAAAAUAAAUUCUAAUUAAAAAAAACACACUUACACACAAAAAAGUUAUAUAUUAAAAAAAUUAAAAUUAAAAGCAGUUUCUUUAUAAGCCAAACUAAGCUGUGUACCGGCUUUAAGAUGUUGUUGGCUUUUCUUAAAUGUGAAUUUUCAGGAUCGAGAUAUUUAGAUUGUCAUCAAAUCAAGUGGAUCUUCUGUAAAUCCUAAUCGAAAAUAUAUAAUUAAGAAAAAUUCAUAUUUAUAUAUUCUUAAAACAAAUUAUCAUUAUGCAUUAGCAUCUAAAUAUAAAAAUAUAAAAUAAGAAUACAAUCAAAAGUAUAAAACUUAUUUAAAAUUUACAAAAAUGAUAAUAUAUACCUAGAAAACAUUAAUAUUUCUAAUUUCAAAAAGGCAACAGCAGAGGCAUAUACCCCUCCACCUGAUUAAUGUAUUUUUAAUUUAUUAUGAAUAAAAUUAAAUAAAUUUAAUUUAAAUAAAUAUAAAGACAUAAAACUUAGAAACCAAACGAUCAAUCUAUGAAAAAAAUUCUUGACCAUGUUUGUGCUAAUAUUAUAUAAUUAAAAAUAAUGAAAAAUAAUCCCAAAUAAUUAAAUUAAAUUAGAUUUGAAAUAAUUUUCCAUCAUGUCUCUUCGAGGAAGAAAUUUUUUUAAGAAACGAUGGCACAGCAAAGUAAAAUGUCACAGAGCCCACCACCAACCUGGUCAGCUAUUUGUACACGUGGCAAUUAUACGUGGCUGCUAAAUUUUCACACUGGGGUCCACAGUUCCUCUAAAAUCCCCUAUUUAUAGACUCCUUGUUCACAAACCCUGGUCAUACUGUCAGUGUCCGAUUCCUGAGUCUGUGUUUCCUACUUUCCUCUGAGCUUUGGAGUUGGUUCAUCUUCAUCAUUCACCAAUGGCGUAAGAUAGCAUCGGCCUUCGUGCUCAUUCUCGCGGUGGCGAUCUUUGCGGCCGCUACCACUGUCUCGGCGAACAAUGAGGCUCCGGCGCCUGCUCCGUCUGCUGCAUCAUCGUUCUACUCACCGGUGUCCAGUGUUUUUGUUGUCUCUUUGGUCGCCUUCUCUGUUUUUGCUCUCUUGAAACAUUGAGUUUCGAUGCGUUGAAGAUUGCGUGAGGCGAUUUAGGAUUCCAUGGGAUUCAUUCAUUCGCUGCAUUAGUUUUAUAAAUGAAUUUAUUGUGAUCGCUGCAUUAGUGUUAAUUUAUUCUAAUGUAUUGAUCUGUUAUUCCCUUUCUGGAUCUCUGUUCUUGCCUCGGCAAUUACUGUGAUUAAUAAAGUAUCCUUUGUCAGUCUCUGCAAUAGAUUCUAAAAAUAUGAAUGAUCUAUUCUUGAUGAUUUUGCCACAAUUUCUUGCUGUUGAUUCUUUUAUUACAAGCAGAACUAGGCAAAACAAAAAUUAAGUGCUUGUUUGGAACCUCUUAAUGAAAACAGAUUUAUGACCUUUGGAGCAGAAAAAUUAUCCUGAAAACAAACAGUGUUUUAUUAGCGUAAGUUGUAUGUUAACCUUUUUUUCUGGCACGAAAACAUUGAAGUAUUUACAAAAGGAUUGGACUUAUUUUGGUUUCUCAAAUUUAAGAAAUUCAAUCUAUAACGAAAAGUGAGAGAAUAGGUUUUCUCAAAUUGUGGAAUAGCCUAAACACUUUCACAUAUUUUUUAUUUCAGAUUUCAGUAAUAAUAGGAUGGUUCCCUUUCUUUUGAUUUUACCGAAAUCAAGCAAAUAAGCCAUUAGAGUGUUUUGUUGUAUAUGUAGAUUGAUGCAUAUUAUUGUAGUGGAUAAUAAAACAAAUUAAUUAUUAUUUUUUUGUAUGUAUUUUUAAGAGAAUUAUUUAUUGUGUUUUUUCAUAAAACAUUGCAAAUAAUUUUUUAAUAUUAUAAAUGAUUUUUUAGAUUUUAAAACUAUUUUUAAAAUUUGGUUAAACACCAAUUUUUUGUUUUUUAAGUAUAUAUUUUUAAACUAAAAACACUUUUUAAAAUUAUUGUCUAAAGCAAAUGAUACUAUGAUAAAACAGUUAAAAAAAAUAGUACUUUGAAAAUUUUGCUUUUAAAAGUUAAUUAUUAUUUCAUUAUUUUAUAAUUUAGAAGCGUUAUUUAAUUAAAGUACUUUUGACUAUGAGCUUCUUAAGCUUUUAAGAAUAUACUAAUAUAAUUAUUUGUCAACUUAAGCCUUUUAAACUUUUAAGAGUAUAAGAAUACAAUUUUCAAAAUUUGAUUUAGAGUAUGUUUGAUAGUUAUUUUGAGAAGUGUUUUUAGUUUUUUUAUUUUUUUUUUAUUUUUUUAUUUUUUUAUCUUUAAAAUAUAAAAAAUAUUAUAAAUACUUCAUAAAAUUGCUAUGAAACGCACUCUUAUUCAAAUGUUAAAUGUGAGUUAAGAAAUAUAUUUUUAUUAAAUUAAAACUUUUAAAACAAAAUAAAAAAUCUAAUUUUUUUAAUAAGAAUAUUUUUAAAUAUAAUUACUAAACAUAAAAUUCAAUUUCCUAUACUAGAUUAAGAUAUUUCUUCUAAUAUAAUUAUGAGAUAAUUUUGACGAAGAGAUUGUCAUGAACAAAAUUUAUUGUUUACGAAAAUACACUAAUUUUUAGUUAUUAAUAGGGAUGACAAUGGGGCAAAUUUUUUCGACUACCUGUCCUGCUCCAUCCCUAAUGGGACGAUGUUCAAUUUUAAUAAACGGGUUUGAAAUUUUUUUUAGAAAUCGGGGGCAGGGGAUUUUCCCCGUCCCAUCCUAAUUAUAUAUAAAAAUAAUUUAAUUUAAAAUUUUAAAUUAUUUUAAUUUAAUUUUUAUUUUAGUAUUUUUAAUAUACAGAUAAUAAUAAAAUAAGUUAUAAAAAUAUAAUAAUUUAAUUAUUUAUAAAUAUAUAUUUAUUUUAAUGUAAUUAAAAAUUUUAAAAUAAUUUUAAAGAAAAUUAAAAUUCAAAAAAAAGUUAAACGGAACGGGACGGGACGGGGCGGGCAUAAGAAUUUAUCAUACAUUUAAUUUUUUAAAUGGGACUGGGAUGAGAAUUAUUUUGAAUAAAUGGGGUGGGAUUGGGAUGGAAGUGACCCGUUGUCAUCCCUAGUUAUCAUCUUCUUUAAAUGUUUUUUUAUAUUUAUAUUUAUUGAAAGUCCACAUGUGAUUGGAGCAAGUAAUAACUUCUUAUAACAUAGAUAACCCUAUUCUAGUUAUUAGUUAUAUAAAAAAUUAUUUUCUUUCAAUUAUAAGUGCUCAUAUUUUUAAAAACACAACAUUUAGUUUGUGCUCUCGAAAACACGAUGUUUAGUUUGUGUUAUUAAGAACACAACUUGGUUCGAAUUCUCAAUGGCAUGACUGAUUACUAGGUAUUGUUUCAUGUGAUCAUAGGGGACUUUUUAUUAAUGGUACUUUAGUUAAUUUUGAUAUUGAUUAAUUAUAAAAAAGAAUAUCAACAUUAAAUAGUUACAUGCGAUGAGUACCCUUCUACAUUUCACAAUUUUGUAUUUUCUCAAAUUUCACGCUUUUUUCAUUUAUUAACAAUAAUAACACUUUUUAUACUACAAUUAUGUUACAAAACACUUUAUAUUCCCUAUUAAUUUAAUUAUUUUUUAAAUAUAAUUACAGAAAAAAAAAAUUAGUUUAUGAUGUUUAUGUUUAAAAUAGAAAUAUCCAUACCAUAUCUAUAGGUCGGUCAUUAAUGAAUUUAAAUUUGAAAAAGCAUAAUAAUUAUCCUUUUUAAGAAAAUUGGAUAAAAUAAUCUCUGAAGUAAAAAGGACGACGGAACUUCAAUGGUAAAUCUUUUGUCUUUUGGCCCAGUCCUAGAGAGACGUUAGGUGGUUCUUAAAAGACAAAAGGGAAAAGGUUUGGCGCCUUCUCAGUUCUCCCACCCAACCGACCUCGGUGUGGACCAAUCGGCACAUGCAAAAUGAGCUGUUGGUACAGGUGGCAGCAUCUGACCAUCUGUCACUAUUCACUGUGGGGUCCAUACGUGAUCAAACCGCCUAUAUAUAGACCCCUCGUUCUAAAGCCCCAGCCAGAUCUAGUCGGUUCUCCAGUCCUGAAUAGUUCCUCCUGUUUCUCCGUCUCCGGUUGGUUCUACUUCUCUGUUCUCUUUCAGAUUUCGAGUUGGCUUUGCUCUAUCCUUCAUCAAUGGCGCAAGUUAGCAUCGCGAAGGCCUUAAUGCUCGUUUUCGUAGUCGCGAUCUUCUCUGCGGCUGCCACAGUCUCGGCGCUGGAUAACUCACCUGCGCCGGCCCCAUCGCCGGACGCUGGAUCGGCGUUCUCCCUCCCGCUAUCCGGCGCUGUUGUUGCCUCCUCUCUCGUUUUUUCUCUACUCGCCUUUUUGAAGUACUGAGUUUGGCUAUGAGAAGUUUUUAUCGUGGAGAUCGUGGAUUCAUUCUGUAGAGACUUUGAUGAUUGUAUUUGAUUUAUUCAUGAUCUACAUUAUUUAUUUAUUUUUAAGUAAAUAAAAUUUUAAUUAAUUUUGUUACAUUGAUCUGUCUAUUCCCUUUCUGAUUCCCUCUUACGCAAAUUUUGCUUGCUUUUGAUUUAAAAAAGAAUGCUUCAGAAAUCACAGUGAAAAGAAUAUUCAUCAGGAUUAUAGAUUUCAAAAGCAACUCCAACAAAUUAGUAUAUUGUUAUCAAUCAAUAUUUGAAGAUUAAUUUUUUUUUAAAUUUAAUUAGGAGAUAAAUUUGCAAUGUAAAAUUCUGGAUAAAAAUUAUUUAGCAUGAAUCAUUUUUUAUGAUGCAACGCCCCUGGAGGUGUAAAAUGGAGAAUUAAAAAGGAACUAAAGCAUCAAUGGCAACUUUUUUCUAGAAAAUGACAUUAAAAUUUGAAUUUAAGUCACAAUCCACUAUCCACAUUGGUUAUUAAGAUUAAAAUAGAGUUAUUGGAUGAAAGAUUUUGAGUGUACAAGAAUUUUAGAAGAUUUAAUGUUCUUCUACAUUGAAAGAAACAUAUUUAGGAACAUUCAAAUCUAAAGUAAAUUUUUUUUAUUUCUUUAAAUCUAGGUCCGUUUAUAUUUAAUAAUGCAUGCUUUCUUCCUUUGCUUAGGAUCUAGAGGCCUAGGAAAGUUUUUUCUGCUCUUAAUGUGAUAAUGGGAUAGGGAAUGAAGAAAUCUAAAAUUUCCUACAACAAGAAUAUCAUAGCCUAAUUUGAAGUUGAGAAAUGUAUGUUAAUGUUAUACUUUGUGCAAUAAAUUUAGUAAAAUAGUCACCAAGAAUGUUAUUGCUAAUUUGAUAAAAGGAGAAAAAUUAGAUGACAAUAAUUAUGAUAUAUAACGUAGAAAAAUUCAUUACCUAUUAAGUGAACAAGAGAUCUUGAAGACCUUAACUAAUGUCAUGAUCCAAUCCAAAGAAGAGAAUUUAGCUUAACAUCACCAUGAUUUGGAAACUUAUUAUUCUUUGUGUUAGAAAAAAAAAAAAAAAAGACUAAUCCAACCUACGGUAAUCACCCUAGGGGGGUGAAUAGGGUGAUGAUCUAUUUUUCUAAAUUUAAACUAUGUGAAUGUUAGAAACAUAUAUAUGCAAGUAUAUAAUAAAACAAUAUAAAAACAAUUACAAAUAAAGUAAAGGAAUGGGGAAAAGAUAAUGUAAACAUAAGAUUUUUAUAGUGGUUCGGCGCAACCCGACCUACAUCCAUUCUCCUCCAACAUUAAUCCCAAACUUAGAUUAUUCUUUUCAAAUAUAUGCAAAUAAUUUCACAAACUCCUAGUAUAAAACUUUAGACUCAAAUGAUACAUGUAAACUAGGAUUGAAUAGUGUACUAAAGAUAUACAAGUUUUAGAACAAUGAUGUACUAAAAAACACUUUUCCAAAGCUCAAAUAUAUUUAAGAAAUGUUUAGGAAGGUUAAACUCAUAAAAUAAUAAAGAUUUGAGUCUUUUUAUAAAAUAAAAAAGUCAAACUAGUCAUUGGGGGGUCGACCGAUCAAUUUGGGGGUCGAAUGAUUAACUAGGCGUUAGUAUUUAAUAUUUGGCAAGUGGUCGUUGGACCUCGAUUGGUUACUAUUCAUACAUUGACUGGUUUAGGUGGGGGUCGAUCGGUUAUUGUUUACACAUUGACCGAUAGAAUAAUUGUUUUGGAAGAGAUAUAAGGUUUUUUUGCACCCCUUGACGGAUUAAGCUAGGGGGUCGACCGAUUCCUCAUCCAGUUCAACCAGUUGAGCCGUUUUUGGCUUAAUAACCAACCUUUUAAAUAAGUUUGGAAAACAUUUGAUAUAAGGAUUUAGUUGAAAACAUGGAAUCAUCUAAAUUUAAAAAAUUUAAAACAAAAUAACUCUUAGAUGAUUUUGGUGCAUAAGUAAAGAAUAUAAUGCAUGAAAAUCAUAGUGCACCAAUAACCUUACAAAGAGAUCUCAUAAAAUUUGGGUUUUGAAAAACACUUCUCUUUGAGAUCUUCUUUUUCUUCGUAAUUUUUCUUUGACUUGAUUUGUCUUUGUAAUUGUCAUUUUGAAAAUCGUCUUACCUAAUCACACUUAAAAUAUAAUUAUUAGUUCUAAACCAUAUUUUGUUAUCAUCAAAACCAAGAUUAAUCAAACUUUGGUUUCACACUUGUGUUAAAAGAGACUAUUGUUCAUGUUUCACUAUAGUAACAUGCACAAUGACUUAAUAUGGGAGUUUGAGAAUUGUCCCACUGCUUAAGACAUGUGGAAUAAGCUUAAGAUUGCCUAUGGUUUGACAUAUGCAACUAGGUUGCGAGUGCUCACUUUGUAGUUCGAGUAAUAUGUCUUGGACCCCAAACACACCAUGUUUAAACAUUUUAGGAUAAUGUCAGUAAUAAUUCGUGAUUUAAAGGUAGUCAAUAAUAACCUAACUUAUGAGUAACAAGUCACAAUUGUUAUUUGUUAUUUACUUGAAUCAUAAGGACAAAUAAAACUUAAUACUCAUGCAUAAUGAGAAUAUUAAAACUUUUACUAAUAUUUUUCACCAGAUUAAGUUAGAAAAUGAGUGUUUAGGGCUAUGACAUACCACACUUGUCGCCCAUGCAGGGUACAACAUGGUAAUAAGCCUAAACAUAAGGGACAAGGAAAACACGGUUAGACAAUUGGAAACUUGGGCCGAAAAAAAGGAAAUCAUAAUAAAAAUAGAAAAAAAAAAAAAAAAAAAAGCAAAUGAGGUGAAAAUAAGGAUAAGCAUAAAAAAAAAUGCUACAACUAUGGAAAACUAGGUGUCUCUGCUCGUGAGUGUAUUAAGCUAAAGAAGGUAUAGCCAUAUCCUAAUUUUCGACAUGGUGGACUGUAGGCUUAGGAGCAAUAAAACAUGUAACAAGGAAUAAAGUGACAUUGGGUGGUUGGCGCCGUGUUUUUACUUGACGUGUUUUAUAGUUUCUUAAAAAGUUUUUUCCUCCUCAAGGAGACAACGAUGGAAAAUUAAUUCAUAUUUAAUUUAUAUCAAUUGGUAUUAUUUUUCAUUUUUUAAUUAUAUAAUAUUGGCACAAAUAUGGAGAGAUUUUUUUUCAUAGAUUUGUUUCUAAGUUUUAUUUCUUUAUAUAUUUAUUCAAAUUAAUUUUAUUUAAUCUUAUUUAUAAUAAAUUAAAAAUACAUUAAUUAGGUGGCGGGGUAUGCUUCUACUGUUACCUUUUUAAAGUUAGAAAUAUUAAUGUUUUCUAAUUAUAUAUUUUAUUUUUGUAAAUUUUAAAAAUGCCUCUUAUUUCUUAUUUUUUAUUUUUAAAAAUAGAAAAUAAAAAUAAAUUUGACAAUCAUAUAUAAAAAGGUACAUUUGUUUAUGUUGACACAUCAUAGAUGAGUGUUGUUUGUUGUACAGGAAAAAAAUAAAUAUUAUUAUAGAAUUCUUAUUUUACAACCUUUUAAAAGCUUAAUUAUUGUGAAAUAAUAUUUAAUGUAAUUUAAUAAUGAAUAUAUAUAUUUACAAAAUUCAUAUUUUUUUAUCAACAUACCCCAUAUUAAUAUUAAAUAUAACAAAUUAUAUUAUAUAAAUAUUAAUUUUUUCAACAACAUAACUUCAAAAUAUCUAUUAUUAUUUCUUAUAUCAUUUUUAAUUAUUUUUUAAGUUUUUAUUAAUUUUCAUUUUAUCAAAAUUAUGUCUCAAAAUAUUUAUUGAUAUUUUUAUUUAUAUAUCUAUAAAAUCAAAUUACUAAUACAUCAAUAAAAAUCAAUAUUUUUAUCCUUACUUACAAAGCGCUUUAUAUUUUCUAUCAAUUUAAUUAUUUUUAAAAUAUAAUUACUGAGAAAAAAUAGUAUAUAAUGUUUAUAUUUAAAAUAAAAAUAUCCAUAUAUCUAGGUCAGUCAAGAUUACUAAUGAAUUUAAAUUUCAAAAAAAAAAAAAUAUAUAUAUAUAUAUAUAUAAACAGGCACAAUAAUUAUCGUUUUAACAAAAAUAAGAUAAAAUUAUCUCUGAUGUGAAAAGGAGAACAGAACCCUGCUUGAAUGGGAACUCUUUUUCUUUUGGUCCAGCCUAGAGAGACGUUAGGUGGUUCUCAAAAGGCGAAAUAAGAUUUAAGGAAAAGGUUCGGCGCCUUCUCCCACCCAACGGAUCUCGCUGUGGACCAAUGGGCACAUGACAAAUGAGCUGUUUGGUACAGGUGGCAGCAUCUGACCAUCUGUCACUAUUCACUGUGGGGUCCACACGUCUCCCCCACACGGUCACACCGCCUAUAUAUAGACCCCUGAUUCUGAAGCAUUAGCCAUAUCUACUCAUUCUCCCGAAUACUUUCUUCUGCUUCUCUGUUCUCUUUCAGAUUUCGAGUUGGCUUUGCUCUAUCCUUCGUCAAUGGCGCAAGUUAGCAUCGCGAAGGCCUUUAUGCUCGUUUUCGUAGUCGCGAUCUUCUCUGCGGCUGCCACAGUCUCGGCGCUGGAUAACUCACCUGCGCCGGCCCCAUCGCCGGACGCUGGAUCGGCGUUCUCCCUCCCGCUAUCCGGCGCUGUUGUUGCCUCCUCUCUCGUUUUUUCUCUACUCGCCUUUUUGAAGUACUGAGUUUGGCUAUGUGAGAAGUUUUCAUCGUGGAGAUCGUGGAUUCACUCUGUAGAGACAUUGAUGAUUGUAUUUGAUUUAUUCAUGAUCUACAUUAUUUAUUUAUUUUUAAGUAAAUAAAAUUUUAAUUAAUUUUGUUACAUUGAUCUGUCUAUUCCCUUUCUGAUUCCCCCUUUCGCAAAUUCUAUUUUGUCAUUAAAAAUUAUGCUAUAAGUUUAAUAAAUAAUAAAACAAUAUGGAUUUGAACCUCCUUUAAACUAAAAUUCAGUUGUGGUGCAAAAUGGACUAAAAAGGGACUAAUGCAUGAAUGGUAACUUUUUUUUUUUUUCUUAAAAAAAAAACAUUAAAUGAGUAUUUUUGUCUUUUAUGUUUCCUCGUGGAUGCUUGCUAUUGAAAAUCUUAUUUUUUUUAUUUUCCUCUUGUAUUGAACAACUAGGUUCCAUUUUUUUCCAUCCCAACCACGAAUGGUUAGGGGUCUAUUCUUAUGGUAUGUUUGAAAAAAAUCAAUAUUCAAUACAUUCAUGUCUUACCACUCAUUAAAAAUAGCUAAAAUAUCUUUUAAAAUUUAUUUUUAAAUUUUGAAAUAGUAAAACUUUUUUACCCCUUCGAUUUCUUAAAAUAAUUUUUUUUUAAAUACUUGUCUUCGUUUUACUUAAAGACUCAAAACAAUUGAACUUAGGUACAAAAUAACGAAAAGUAAAAAAAAAAAAACGCACACACAAAUAUACAUAUAAAUAAAUAAAACUUAAGUCCAAUAAUCAUCUAUUAACACCACUUUUAUUUUAUAACACUAUUGAUCGUCAUACAUUCUACAUAAUUAAACUAUGAUGGAAAACUAUUUCUUGAAGUUUAAUUCUGAGAUAAUUUUAACAAAGAGAUUAUCAUGAUCAAUGAUGACGUGGAUUAAUUGUCAAAAAUAUCAAACAUCGGAUUAGGGCCCUCCUAAGUAAUUAAAGAUAUCCAUAGGUAAAAAUAGGAGAAAAUAAUCCCUCAAGGGUAAAAAGGAGAACACCGGUUCUCUGGUGACCUUUUCCCUUUGGGCCCAGUCCUAAGAGACGUUGGGUGGAUCUCAAAAGGCAAAACAAGAUUUAAGGAGAAGGUUCGGCGCCUCCUCCAACCCAACCGACCUAGCUGUGGACCAAUCGGCACAUGCCAAAUGAGCUGUUGGUACAGGUGGCAGCACCUGUCCAGCUGUCACUAUUCACCGUGGGGUCCACACUUCUCGCGCAAACCUCCUAUAUAUCGACCCCUCGUUCUGAAGCCCAGUCACAUCUUCCAGGUGCUCUCCGCUCGAAUAGUUUUCCUGUGUCUCUGUCUCCGGUUGGUUGGUUCUAUUUCUCUGCUCUCUUUCAGCUUUCGAGUUGGUUUUAGUGCUCUGUCCUUCAUCAAUGGCGCAAGUUAGCAUCGCGAAGGCCUUCGUGCUCCUUUUCGUUGUCGCGAUCUUCUCUGUGGCUACCACAGUCUCUGCGCAGGAUAACUCCCCUGCGCCGGCUCUAUCGCCGGACGCUGGAUCUGCGUUCUCCCUCCCUCUAUCCGGCAGUGUUAUAGUCUCCUCUCUCGUGUUUUCGCUUCUCGCUCUCUUGAAGUACUGAGUUCGGAUAUUUGAGAAAAUUUUAAUUUUUAUGUGAGGAUUGAGGAUUGUACUUGAUUCAUUCAUGAUCUAUAUUAUUUAUUUAUUUUAAGGAAAUAAAAUUUAUUUUAUUUUAUCACAUUGUUCUGUUUAUUCCUGAGAAAUGGAGAACUUUUUGUAUGCUUGGACCUCACGAAACAUUGCACAAACUUCAUGUGGACCAAAUCUAAUAAUGAAUUUGAAUUUGAAAAACAAUAAUAACAAAUUGGGAUCAUUCGUCAUGUUGUGGGUAAUACUUUUCUAAGGAUUAAACAUUUGAAGCGAUUUCUUGUCCGAAACCACUUAUAAUUACGCGUGUUUGACCCUGUUUCAGUUUUGUAAUUUUUGUCUUUGUUUUUCCUCAACAUUAUAUUAAAUUUUUUUGAAUAUUUAAAUUGGGUUAGAAAAACUUUUUAUAUUCCCAAUAAUAAGAUCGAAAGUAAUUGCCAUACGUUUAAUAUAUAUACAAUUUCUAAUAAUGAAUAUAGAUUUUUAAAAUACAAAUAUCAAACGCGUAUUUGGAAAUUGUUUAUUUUUAAUAAUAAAAAACAAAUCUACAACUUUAAAAAUAGAAAGGAAAUCAACGAAAAUUAAUCUUAUAACUAAGAAAGCGGUUUGACAAAAUUUUGAUAAAAAAAAUAUGUUUUUUUAGAAAUAUUUUAAAAAUAAGUAAAUUUCAUUAGUGUUUUUAAUGUUUAAAAAAAAUAUGGAUUUGAAAUUUUAUUAAAUGUUUUUAUUAUUUUAAAUUAAAUGGAAAGUAAGAAAAAUAAUAAUAAUAUUUGAUAAAAUUUUAAAUGAUUGAUGAUUAUAUAGAUUUAAUUCAAAUUUUAAAUGAGAUAAAUGAAAUUAAUCUGUUUAUUAUUAUUUUGAGGAAUAUGGAAUGAUUUUUAUAUUUUAUAUAAGUAUAUAAUAUUUUUUUUUAAAAAUGAUCAUCAAAAUUAAAAAUAUUUGAAUUUUCAAUGAUUUUUUUUAUAGAAUUUUUAAUAAUAAUUUUGUAUAAAUAAUGCCACAUAAACGACAAAAUAUCUUUGGUGAUUGGGCUUUACGUGUAAAAAAGAAAGCUGAAAAUGGAUCACCUAGCUUUGGUGACUUUUCGUCAGUUCCACUUUCCAAGAGAGCCGUUAUAGAUUUUUCAAAGUAGAGAUAUUUUUGAAAGCAACGUAAAACGGCCACUUCUUGGCUUUCGUGUUUCACACGUAAUUAGAAAUUUAGAAGAAGCAUCUUUUUCUUUGUUUUGUUUUGUUUUUUUUCCACACCCAUGAAUUGAAUGGUAUGUAGAGAGUUGAAUGGAUCGAAUCAUAAAAAGCCAGCCCCUGACCGAGUCACUGAGUCAUUAUGUCUCAAUAAUGAUUCCUAACGGUGAAUCGUCGAAUUCAGAUUUCUUCCAAACUAAAUAGUUUGUAAUUUAUAUUUCUAUAUUGAGAUGUGGGGCAUUAGAGACAAGGAACGUGUCAAAUAAGAAGUACUGCGCCACCCAUCGCCAGCCCCGCCGUGGACCAAUCAGCACAUGCCAUUAAUGAGCUGUUUGGUAUACGUGGAAACCUAUGACCAACGGUUCCCAUUCACACUAGACCCACGCGUCUUUCCAAAGCUACCUAUUUAUAGAACUCAUCUUCUCAAACCCUAAUAGCAUAUUCUCUCAAGAGUUCGAAAACACUUUCAUCUCUAACCUCUCUGUUUUCUCUAUUUCUCGUUGUCUUACGGAGUUUAUUCAAACAUGGCCCAAGUUAGCACCGUGAAGGCCACUAUGAUCCUCUUUGCUAUUGUGAUGUUUGCUGCAGCUGCUACAGUCUCGGCACAAGAAGUUUCUCCGACUCCAUCGCCGGAUGUUGGAUCAGCCUUUUCCGUACCUCUCCCCAAUGCCAUGAUUGUUUCAUCUCUGCUCGUUUCUCUCAUCGCUCUCAUAAAGCAUUGAAAUGGGAUUCGAGAUGUCGAAAUUAUCUUUUAUGUAUUGAUUUUAUAGAAGGAUCGAGUAUUGUAUUGUACUUAUUAUUGAGGAUUGUAUUUGAUUUAUGGAUGAUUCUCAUUAUUUUAUAAAUAAAUAAAUAAAAUUUUAAUUAUCUUUGAUUGUUAUCAUUUUUGUUUUAUUAUUGCACUUUUUGAUUGCAAAAAAAUGCUUUAAAGCAUUGAUUUUAUUAUAUGUCUCUAUUUUUCUCAUUUGAUAAUUUGGAUGAGAAUUGAAAUAUUAUAGGAUCGCAUAUUAACAUUUAAACAUGUAUUUAAUAGCAAAAAUUCAACCGAUUACCUUGAUUUAUGUCAUGGGAAGUCAUUUCUUCUCCCUCUGAUAUCCAAUAAGCUGCUUUUUGGGUGUGUGAUUGUUCGAGAAUUAUGGAUCAAUGAGCUCUUCCCUUACCUUCCAAAAUUCAGUCCAAAGUGCAAAUAUAUGUGUUUGAGUCAGUCAAGUAAAUUAAGAUGAAUCCAUAAAAAAUAAAACAAUAAUAUGUAUCUAGUCCCCUUAUGGAUCACAAUACAAAAAAUAAAUUAACACUUAUUUAUGAUAUUAUCAAAUUGAUUAUGUAAGUCCAUACAUAAAAAUUCCAACAAAUUUUACAUGUUUUUUCUUAUUUAAUAAUUUUAGAUAUUUUUCUUUAAUUUAAAAUAAAUAAGAUAUUUAACAAAAUAUUAAAUUAAUGAAAGUUAAUUAUAUUUAGACAAAACUAAGUGAAAUUAUCCCUUAGUUUAAAUUGGUAAGAUGCUUGUACUUUUUCUUAAAGUAGGUGUCCUAGUCUAGAACAACCAGCUUUACAGCUUACCAGAUUUCCAGAAUUAUUACCCAUGUGCCAACCCAAAAUUUGGCACCAAAAUCAUUUUAUUUUAUUUUAUUUCUAAAUGUUAAUGGGUAAUUACAACAUACAAAUUUUUUUGGAGAAAAUUAUGCUUUAUAGAACUUGAAAUUGACCAUAUGAAUGACAUAAUUGACAGAAAAUAUAUGAAAUUGUAAAAGAUAAAAAUACCAAAGAAAAUGACACAUAAAAUCUUUUUAAAAAUUGAUUGAUUGCACACAUGGUAAUGAUCCCGAAAAAUAUCUUAAUUUUUUAUUUGAUUAAUAUAAGAAAAUGUUAUUUACAAAAUAUCUUUCUUUUUUUUUACAAAAACCAAUUUCUAUUUGAAUUAGAAAAUAUUUAUAAAAAAAAUAAUUUUAUGUUAUAAAAAAAAACUCUCAAAUUUAUUAAGAAAAUAACUAUAAUUUAUUUAUUUUUAUGUUUCUAAUUUUCGGUUUAGAUUUUUUACCCAAUUGGUCAAAGCACAAUUUUCCCCAUUUUUUAUUCACAUUCAUCAUUAAAUGAAUCAAAUAUUUGAAGGCCUUUCUCCUUCAAUAAUGUGCUACAGGGGAAUUGAACGUUGGGCUAAUGCCACCCUCACCAUUUGCGUGACAACAAGGAUUUGAAUAGCAGCAAUUAACUAUUGCCAGCUUGGAAAAAGAAACCUUAGAAAGAAAAAAAAAACUAACGUUCAUUAUUCAAAAUUAAUCAGUCUUUUUGUAUUUUAUAUUAUUAAAUUAAUAAUAAAUAUUAUAAAAGAACAAUUGGGUGUCACAUGCCGACAUGAGGAGUCUAAGACCAACUGGCACAUAACACAAUCAGUUCCCGGGAAACUCGGCUUUUAUCAUGUUUAAUAAUAAAUAAAUAAAAAAUGAUUUAAGAUUAAUAUAUUACAUUAUUUUUCUUAUUCUUACAAUUUAAAAUUGAAUUUAAAAGUAAAGUAAUUAUCGAGGAAGAAUCCACCACACUGUACCCACUCAGCCACAUGCGCCCGUUGAGCUGUUGUCUAGUGGCUGCCUGGCUGGGCCGCUUCACCAGCUGUUAUUAUUCGCAGUGGGCCCUACUUGCCACUCCAACGUCCUAUAUAUUUGGGGUGGCUUCCUCUCUCGGUCUCACCAGCCCUAAGCCACUCUCAAAAUCACUCGCCUCCUUUCUCUCUCUAACUCUCCCUCAGUUUCUCACCGCCGAUCAGCUUCUCCACUGUUCACCAAUGGCGCAAGUUGGCAUGACGAAAGCCUUAAUGCUUGUCUUCGCAGUGGUGGCAAUCUUCUCUACGGCUGCUACAGUGUCGGCUCAAGAUGGCGCCCUGGCACCGGCUCCGUCGCCAGACGUCGGAUCUGCGUUCUCCGUACCUCUCUCCGGCGCUGUUAUGGCUUGCUCUCUUGUCCUCUCUCUUCUCGCUCUCCUGAAGCCUUGAGUUCCGAUCCAUGAGAGAUUGCAGAUUUUGUAUAUGGAUUGAAAUUUGAGGAUCGUAUUAAAUUUAUUCUUUGUUCAUUUGGGAGCAUUAUUAUUGUUACCAUUUUGUGUUAUUAUUUUAUUAUCAUAAUGAUAUAAGAGAUUUAUACUUAUUAUGUCGGAUCCGAUCUGCGUGAUGCUCUCUCUUCUCUUUUCCUCAAGAGAUUGCCAUUCUGAUUUUCUUCCAACGAAGCGAAUUGUUCUUGCAAAAGAAAACACUAAACCAUAAAGUAUUUUUAUAUUUAAACACGCAUGCAUAUGCUGUUUUCCAUAUUUAUUUUCAUUGAAAUAUCAUAGAGAAUUUUUUGUAGGUAAUUUUAUUUAAUAUUUUUUAAAAAUCUAAUCACUGAUAUCUUCCCUUUUAAGCUUUUAAUUUAUUAAUGGAAUUAUUAAAAUUAGAAGUUAAAUAGAGAUGAUUACUGACUUAGUAAUAUGUAUUAUAAUAAGAAAAAUAUAUUUAAUGUAAUAAUUGUAAAUUUAUUUAAAUUUAAAAAUUUUCACUUUAUUCAAUUAAAAUUUCUUAUACUAACCUUUUAUUUAUAUAUUUCUGGACCCCGGCCGCAUGAUUUGCGUUGAUGCAAGAUAAAGUCUACAAAUUAACGGAUAUUUCCAAAAGAAGAAGGGUAACGGUCAUCACCAAAUGUUAUUUUAUUAUGUUAAUAUUUAAUAGUUUUUAAUUUCCUUUUUAUAGAAAAAUAAUACAGAGGGACCCACCAACAUAGCUGUAAAGACACCAACACUGCACUUCACAUGUCCAUUUCAGCGUACGGUUGAAUUGUGACACGUCAUCAGAGUUGGUCUCCAAAGUGGGCCCCACACGCCGCUGCAAUUCACGAACGCUGUUGCUUAUUAUUCUCUCCCGGUUUCCAGAUUGUUCUGUUGUUUAUCUUUCAGUAAUGGCGCAAGUUAGCAUGAACAAAGCCUUGAUGGCCGUCUUCACAGUCGCGGUAGUCUUAUCUGCGGCCGCUACAGUAUCGGCGCAGGAUACUUCGCCGGCCCCGGCUCCAUCUCCAGACGCCGGAUCGGCGUUCUCCCUACCUCUCCCCGGCGUUUUCAUUGUUUCCUCUCUCUUCUUUUCCCUUCUCGCUCUUUUGAAACCUUGAGAUUUAUGGAUUGUAUUGGAUUCAUUCUUUGUUUAUUGAAUGAUAAUGUUUAUGAACAAAAAUCAUGGUAUUAUUUUCGUUGUUCAUGGGAGGGCUUAAAGCUUCGAUUCACUUAUUGCAUAAAUAGAAGCUUGAAUCUCAAUUUGAUAGUGCAAUAGCACAAAAAUAAAAUAAAAUAAUUGAUCUAUAAACGUAUUCGAUUGGAUCAGUCAUAAUUAUAGAAAGAAACCACUUCUUGGAGGCUCCUUUUCAAUAUUUUUUCUUAAUGAGAAUACCAAAUAAUAAAAUUUAAUAUAUAUAUAUAUAUAUAUAUAUAUAUAUAUAUAUAUAUAUAUAUAUAUAUAUCAAUUGAAUAACAAUUAUACUAAUCGAAUUGAGUGGUUGAAUUUUCCCUUUUGAGAAAACAAAAAAAAAGAAAAAAAGGAAAGGAAACGCUAGGUAAGAUUUUGGGAUCGGAAGAUUAUUCAAGGUUUUUUAAAUUGGGUCAAAAAUUCAUAUUUUAUGCACAUUUAAGCUUAAAAUCCAAAUAAAGUGUAAAAAUUAAGUUGAAUGAUAUUUUUCAUUAAUCCUUAAAAUAUUUUUAAACCCUUUGCAUUGAGUGUAAAUUUUAUUUAUUUUUCCAUUUUUUUUCAUUAAGUAUUAAUCAUUUAUAACUUUUUUUUUUUAGAGAUAUUGAAUCUUUUUAUUCUUAUUAUAAGCAAAGAUAAAAAAAUUUCAUAUAAAAUUUAAUGGAUAAUCAAUAAAUGAAAUUUAAUUAUUUUUAUUAUUUUCAUAUAAAAAAUACUACUAAACAAGGUUUUUAAUUUUUAUUUUUUAAUUAAAUGUUUUUUUAAUCAUAUUACCAUUUUUUAGAAAGUAUUUUUUAAAAUAGUUUUUGAACUUAAUUUUUAUUUACUUAUAAUUUAAAAUAUAAAAUAAUGUUGAUUUUCAAUUAUUUAUAAAAAAAAAAUUUUAAAAAUAAUAAAAAAUUCAAAUGGUUAAAAUAUAAUUAUUAUGGUUACAUGAAUAAUGGUGCGAUAAAAAAGAAACUUAUAUGAAAGUUUAAUGGGUAUUUUGAUAUUUUAAUAUCUUAUAUGAUUUCGAUAUGUUAUGUUAUACUUAUCAAACUUUAAUUUUUGGCCCAAAACACAAUUAUACCUUUUAAAUUUAACCGUACCAAUCACGGACUAAAGUGUCAGCUAAAAAAAAACAUAAUGGAACUUUUGGUUUCGCCGCAGAGAUGUGUUGAAUAGCUUUUUUUUUAACGUUUCUUCUUUUUCUUUUCCUACGGUAAAAAUUAGGGUUUGAAAACGACAUACAACGGUUGGUUAUGCUUUAUAUUGAAAAUAAAUAUUGUCUUUAAAUAUUUUUAUUCAAAAAUUCAGUUUUCAAUUAUUUUUUUUAGUAGAACAGAUGGGAUAUUUUUUUUAUAUCAAAUAUAUUUAAGUUCUAGUUUUUAAAAUAAAUUUCCAUUUACCUUAUCGUCUAAAAAUAUUUUGCAUUUUUGAAAAAUAACCUGCAUUUCUUAUUUAUUUUUUUAAUAAUAAUAAACGAAUACACAAAAUGUGAUGAAUGUGAUGAUGCUAAAAGCAUAGCUGAAAAAGGAGAGGGAAAAAAAAAAUUGUUUCCAUAUUUUUUCCUUUCCUUUCCAACAAAUACUUUCGGCGUGAGCCACCGACAUCAACGCUGGGACAUGCCGAAGUUGAGCUGUUCGGUGAAGAUUGUGGCACGUCACCAUAUGUCACAUCAUUAGUGGGGCCCACACACUGUUUUUAAACUCCUCUGGCUCUAUAUAUUUGACCCUCUAAUGCUAGGCGUGACAGACGUUCUAAUCUGCUCUCAAAGUUUCUAGAUCAUUUCCCUUUUUAUCGUUCACUAAUGGCGCAAGUUAGCAUCAUCAAAGCCUUAAUGCUCGUCUUCGCAGUCGCGAUUAUCUCCGCGGCCACUACAGUCUCGGCGCAAGAUGGUUCUCCGGCGCCGUCUCCGUCUCCAGACGCCGGAUAGGCAUUUUCCAUUCCUCUCUCCGGUGCUGUCAUUGCUUCAUCUCUGAUCCUGUCUCUUCUCGCUCUCUUGAAGCAAUGAGCUCCGAUCCGUGAGAGACUCUCAUAUUGCAUUGCUACCGGUUGAUUUUGUAUGGUGAUUGUAUUGAAUUCGUUCUUUUUUUUUUUUUUUUUUUUGUUUUUUGUUAUGAAGAAUUAUAACAAAUUUACAUUUCUUGCUUUGGAUUUGGUCGUGCUGCACCUGUAAUCUCUUGUUCACGCUUCACAAGAUUUAUUUUAAAAAAAAAUUUACAUCAAGGAUCUGAUUGAACUUUUGGGGGAUCCGCGCGAUCGACUUUCAUGUAUUUUGUAUCUCUCGAUGAAGCUAGAGGAACAGAAAUAGGCAGUGUUUAUACCUUCUUGCUUGUUCACGCAAUAUCUAAUAAUAAGUUAAUAACAAUGUUUUCAAAAGCAGUUUCACCACAUUUUCAGUAGCGCAUGUAUUUGAUUGAAUUAGAAAACUCUUUACUGAUUUUUAAAAAAUAAAAAAAUUGUUUCAAAAACUUUUUUAAAAAAAAUAUUUUACCAAAUUCAAAUUCAUAGCGACAGAUAUUCAUCAACGGUUGCUGAAGUACUUAUAUUUUAUAAUUUUGCUUUACAAUGAAGCAUAAAUAAAGUUUACAAAAAUAUGAACAUGUAUUGAUAUAAGGGGCAUAAUAAAUUUAUUAUUGAUAAAUAAGAGGAUAAAAAAAAAUUAUAAAAACCGUUGAACUCACAUUAAUUUGAGAAUACGAGAUUUUAAAAACAACAUAGACAACUCUAUUUGGAGUUCAUUUGUUUAGUUAGUUUAUUAGAUGCAUAAAUUAAAUGUUCUAUUAUUUCAAUAUUUAUCACCAUGAUUCUUUUAACAUAUACCAUUUGAAGUUUCAUGCUUAGACUAGAGAACCAGUGGGAGAAAAUAUGUUUGAAUAUUUAUUUUUUGUUUUUCAUUCUUUAAAAAUUCAAAAAAUAGAAAAAGUGAAAAACUAAUUUGGUUGGUGUUUUCAUAUUUGAGUUUAUGAUCAAGGUAACAUUAAAAAAAAAUAAAAAAUAAAAAAUCUAAACCUAUGAUAAAAAUAUUUGUUAAAAUAAUACAUUGAUAUAGUAUCAAGUUUCACUUUAUUAUUUAUUUAUUUUUUGUUUUUUCAUUUUAAAAUCAUAAUUAGUAAUUAUGGUUUUAGCUUUGAAGUUUAAACAAUAAUUAAAACUCGUUUAAUAAUGACUUUAGAAAUUGUUUCUAACCAAUAAAUAGUUAAAAACAAAAUUUAUUAAAGUGUUAAAAAGUUUAGAAAUCUUUUAUAAAAAUAAUAUCAAACACAUUAUUAUUGACGGUGGUUUUUAAAAUCAUUGUUGAUAAUCAUGGUUUUAAAUCAUCAAAUAUAAUCUUUGACAUAAAAAAAAGUCAUUUAAUUGAUUACAUAAUUAUAAAUAUUUUAAGAAAGAUCUAUUUUUAUUGUUAUUUUCAAAAGCACUUUUUUAACCUUAAAUCCUUCAAAAUUUCCUUAAAAACUAAACAAGUGAAAAUAGUUAAAAAAAGUAAAAACAUGAAAGUUAAUAAAAUAAUGUAAAAUAAAUAAAAUGAAUGUGAAUAUUUAUUAAUUAUGAUUCAAAGUCAAAUUAAGACAAUGAAAAUAUCGGUAAUUACUGAUAUAUUGAUAUUUUGAUUUUACGGAUUUUUUUUUUUGAAAAUAUAGAUAUAUUUAAAAUUAAUCAAAAUUUAUGAAAAUAUAAGAAAAAUCCCAUAAAAAUGCAAUUAGAAGUAUAAUAGAUAUUUUAAAUUUAUUUUGUUAAAUAAUUUGAUAUAUGCAUGAUAUAAUUUAUCAUAUUUAAUAAUAAUUUCGUAUACAUCGAUAAAAAAUAUGAAUUUUAUAAGUAUACAUUUAUUAUUAAAUUAUAUUUUAUGUAAAAUAUUGUAUUUUUUUUACUAUAAGUCUAUAAUAUAUCUAAUUUAAAAAUAUAUUUAAUAUCAAAAUUUUAAUCUAUUUAAUUCAAUUAUAUUAAAUGAUAUAAAAUAAAUGGUGAUAUAUGUAUAAUUAUAAUAUUUAAUAAUAAUGUUUAUAACUUGAAAACAUAUUUUAUGCAUAUACAUCUAAUUUUGACGUAUUUAAUAACAUAAAAAAUAAUGAUAAUUUGCAUAAGUAUUUUUUAUUUUAAAAUUUUGAUAAUUUUAUUCAAAAAUUAAUAGUUAUUUUAUAUGUAAUUAUUAUAUAAAAGUCACAAUAACCAAAAUUAAUUUAUUUAUACUAAAUUUAUUCUGAUUAAUUUAUAAUUAUAUAUAUAACAUUUAUUUAGACAAAAACAUAGUUGGUUGGCUGGUGUUGGUGGGUGAUUGUGAGUGUGAGGUUGGGGGUUCAAAUCCUUUUCCAUUUGGUGUUUGGAUUGUCGAUGUGGGUGCAUUGAAGAAGUGGAGUACUCAUAGCGUGCAGCACCAGCUAGUUGGAUUGGGCCAACAGAAGAGUUUUGGGGAAAAAUUGGAAUCCCACAUCGACAAUCCAUGACACCAAAAAGGUGUAUCGGAGAAGUGGAGUACUCAUAGGCAUGCACUGCCAGGCUAGUUGGGUUGGGCCAACAGAAGAGUUUUGGGGUAAUGUGGUAAUGUGGCACCGAACUAUCAACAUUUUCAUUUGGAUAUCACAAUAUUAUUAUAUUUUUCAUAUUUGUACUAAUAAUAUUUCACUUGAAAGUAAUUAUUUUUUAAAUCAAAUAUUUUAAAAAUAAAUAUGCCUAUUUGAUCAGUAUUUUUGUUAAUUAUAGAUAUAUGAAAAUAUUUUGUUGUACUAUUUAAAUAAUUUUUUUUAUCACACAUCGAGAAAAUAAAAUAAAAUGUAAUGAAUAAAUAUAACAUAAUUAUUUGUAAAUAAAAAUUAAUACCUAAUAAAAUAAUAUAAUUGAUCAAUUCUUUUAUUAAUUAUAGUCAUAUUAUUUAAAAGAAAACUAAUUAAUAGAGAAAAAAAUAAAAAAGAAUAAUCAAUAUAUACAAUUGGAUAAGAAAAUAAAAUGUAAAAAAUAAAAACGUUUCCACACCAAACACAACUUUAGAGCAAAUAAGGAGAACAAGUAAAAUAAAAUUGAUUUGGAAUUUAUCUUAAAAGGGUUGAUUUCAAAGAAAUUUAGAAGUUUUCCAACUAAGAAAACGAGUGAGAAAGCAUGUUCUAGAGAAAGGCGCGACACGUGCCAAUUGUCGGUGAGCUGUUUCCAUUCACAGUGGGGUCCACACGCCCCUCCAAAACUACUAUAUAUAAGAUUCACCCCUUCACUAUAUCUAUCAAGAAGCACUCGGCCUUCUCUCUUGCUUUAUUUUUCUCUUUUUAGUUCAUAACUGGUGUGCGCUUCUGUAUCCUUCGCUAAUGGCGCAAGUUAGCAUCGUCAGAGCCUUGAUGCUCGUCUUCGUGGUCGCGAUCUUCUCCGCGGCCGCUACAGUUUCCACGCAAGAUGUUUCUCCGGCGCCGGCUCCGUCUCCAGACGCCGGAUCAGCGUUCUCUGUACCUUUCCCGUACGCUGUGAUUGCCUCCUCUCUCAUCUUGUCUCUUUUCGCUCUCUUGAAGCCUUGAGUCACGAUCUAUAAUACAUUUGUAGUUUGCAUCUAGAUGAUCUUGCAGAGUCAUUGUAUCGAAUUCCUUAUUUUUUAUUUAUUUAUCACAUAUAAAUGAAUAAAUUUAUAUUUGGCCCAAAUCAUUUGGAUAGCUUGAUUCAUCUGACAUUUUUCAUUCGGACAAAAAAAAAAAACGAAGGUAGGGAGAAACAGGAGGAAGUAGUAUUUGUAUGUCCUAUCUACAGAAAAAGAAAGGAAAAUUGAAUAUGAAUAAUUUUAAUUCUGGUAUCAAAAUCAAUAAAUGUUAUAAAAUUAUUAAGUUUUUAGGAAGAUAUCGUGCAUGUAGACUAGGAUGGCCUUUCAAUUUUUAGGAUUUCAUUCCUAACACGUUUUUAAAUGACCGGUAAAUUCAAGAUGAAUGAAUAUAACAUUCUAAAUAUCUAAUAUUUUCAAAUUGAUGACAAAUAUUAAUAUUUGUCGCAAAUCUCUCUAUAUAAGUGCAAUAUUUUUUAUAUAAUGAAUUAUAGAAAUAAAUAAAUAAUAAAAAAAUAAAUAAUAAAUUUAAAAUCAAUAAUUUAUUUUAAUAUAUUAUUUUAAAUUCAUUUAAAUUAUUUUAACUUAGCAUCGAUAAUGUAUAAAUUUUAAAUCAGUUUUAAUUAUAUUUAUUUUUUUAAAUAUUUUUUAUAUAAUUAAAUAUAAGAAAAUAAUUUUUAAAUUUUUUUUUAUUUCAAGUUAUCUCGUGAAUUCACCGAUAAAAACUGAAACAAUAUUUUAAAAUAAUAAUAGUGUUUUAGUAAAAUAAAAUAAUUAAUAAUGUUAUAUAUUUAAUAUUUUUAAAAUUUAAAAAUAAAUCAAAUAAGUAUUUUUAUAUAAAAUAACCAAAUAUCAUAAUUGCCCAAUUUAAUGGAAUAGACACAUCCAAGCCCACCCUGAAUACUAAGUUUGGGUCGUGGUGUAAGAAAUAGGAAUAAUAUAAGUUGCAUUCCUAAUUUUCCUUAUUUGAUUAUUUAAAUUAAUGAAAAUUUAUUUUUAUUAAUUUUAGAUUUUUAGUUUAUUAUUUUUAAAGUAUGUUUGAAAGUAAAUAUAAAAAACGUUUUUAAUAUUUUUAAUAUUUAAAUAAAAUUAUUUUUUUAAGUAUUAAAAAUAUUAAAAGCGUUUUUUUUUUUGUCAUUAUCAAAUCGGAUGUUAAUAUUUUAUAAGAAUAUGCGCAUGCCAGGUUGGCGUUUGGUAAGUCUGGUGACCGAUCAACAGCUGUUAGCGUUGAGGUGGGGUCUACGCUCCCCUCUUCAACCACGCUACGCAUUCCAUCCCCUCUGAUACACCUCCACACACUCCUGACUCCCCUUCGUCUCCUCUUCGUCCUGUCUGGCUCGUAGAUCAUGUAGGAAUCUAAACGAAAAUCCCAUAGGUUUAAUAAAUAUUAUAUUUAUAAAAUUAUUUCUAAAUCUACAAUAUUUUCAAAAAAUCGAAUUAAUAAUUAUCUUUUAUCAAACAACUUGAAUUAAAAUUUGAAAAAGAUAAUUUUCAUAUUUAAACUGAAAUUAUGUUUCGAAAAGAUAACCUUCAAUUGUUAUUAAAAAAAAUAAUGUUUCAACAUUGGAGAGUUUACCGUCACUGCUCUACCACCAAGCCAUGGAUCACAUUCUUCGUAUCCCUCUCCAAAGCUAUUUUUACCUCUCAUCUUUUCUCUUCUCUGUUCCCUUGAAUCACUGAGUAUGUAUAGAGAUUUACUUUGCUGUUACCUCCUCACUCACUUUUCUCUUCUCUGUUCCCUUGAAUCACUGAGUAUGCAUAGAGAUUUACUUUGCUGUUACCUCCUCUCUCACUUUUCUCUUCUCGCCCUCUUGAAUUAGUGAGUACCCAUAGAAAUUUUCUUUCUUGCUGACUCCUCUCUUCUCUUUUCGCUCUGUCGAAAGAGUGGGUAUGCACUAUGCAUAGAGUUUUACUUUGUUGUUGCCUCCCCUCUCUCGACUCUCAUCUUCCCUUCUUGCUCUCUUGAAUCACUGGGUAUCCACAGAUAUUUACACUGUCGGAUCGUAUUGAAUUUAUUCUUCCUUAUUUAAUAAACAAUCGUCUAAAUGAAAACAUGAACAGUUAAUGUUCGUAUGGUUAGAUUAAAAAGGCCCCUCAAAACCCCAUUUUUAAAAUUUAAUCUCCCACCAUUUUUUUGGCAUCAUAAAAAUAUUCCCAUUAUUUUCUUGUAAAAAUAAUUAUUUUUUUUAAAACCUACAUGCAAAUACUUAAAAUAAAAAAUGAUAUUUAUAUCAAAAAAUAAAUUAUUUUUUCAGAAAAAACAUGAAAAAGAGUUAGAUUUUCGAUUUUGGGAAAUAUUUUAUCACUUUUAACCAAAUAUUUCUAAAAUCAUUUCUUUUUUGCUGCUUUUUUUUUUUUUUUUUCGAAUAUUUAUACAAAUUUUAGUUUUUUGUUACACGUACAAAUGGUGUAAAAGCCCUCAGACCACAUUUCUUUCCGAUUUGGUGCAGGGUUGAGUAAAUAUUUCAGGAAGGAGUCCCCUUGGAUUCUUGAACGUCCAACUCAUGCUCUGCUACCAUGAUGCAUGAGUCAGCUUCCAGAGAUGAGGCUGAGCUUUUAUCCUUCAACAAUGAUUCUUUUGGUGAACUUAGCAUCUCUGUUGAGCACUGAACGUCGGGUGUAAUUCCAACCUGGUCUAUGUCGUGUAAUGCUGGUGAUAAAUACUUGGCAACUGUCACAAACAGAGCUGAUCCAUCAUGGAGCUCUGUAACACUCUGUGCCAAUUAUGAUGAUAAAACAAUUAAAACCAUGACAGAAAUGGCAAGAAAAGAACAGCCACUACCACAAACACCCAGUUUCUAGUGAACUUCUGGAGGUCUGGUUGAUGACUAUAAACUGAAGAGAAAUCUUUAGUAUAUCAUGACUGAGACUACCUGAAUUUUCCCUUUCCCAAAGGUUUUAUGCCCGACAAGAAUAGCUCUACCAUUGUCAUGCAGUGCUCCAGCCAGAAUCUCACUUGCACUUGCACUGCCCUCAUUCACCUGUUUCAGCAAGGGGAAAAAAAUGGCAGUAGAAACCAUUUCAGAGCCAUUCUAUGAAACCCAUGUUUUAGGCGUGCAACUUAUUGAAAAAAAAUAAAAAUGCAGAGCCACUUUUAUUACUUGUAAUUGAAAUAAAAAUAGUGACAGUACGCUGCUGAAGGGUCCGGAACUUACAAGCACGACAAGUGGAUCACGUGUUAUGGCAUGCCCAUCGACCAUGUUAAUGGGUAGCAUAUUCCCAUCCCGAUCAAUGGUGUUCACCAAAGUUUCGUCGCCAUCUAGCCAUAUUUGGGCAACAUCAAGUCCAACUUUUACCAAACCACCCUAUUAUAUGAUUUGAAAGAAAAAGACAAACAGGAUGAAUGCAAAAAAUGUUGGAUGGAUAGUCAAUGAACUUUCAGAAACAAAUUCCAUCAAUUCAAGCAUUGUGGAGCUACCGGAUUGUUCCUCAAAUCCAGUAUGUAUGAGCAUACAUCCUGAGCCUCCAUUUCAUGAAUGCAAUUUUCCAUUUCAGCUGCAGCUGUCUGUCAAGAAAGAAAAGCAAUGGCUGGAUUCAUAAGAAAAUAUAAAAGUAUGACAAGCAUUCAGCUGGUAAGGGACUGAAUUAUUGUAAUUCAAUCUAUAAUUGCAAAAAUGAGAAAGAAUUGCAUCUGUCCAUGGCCAAGAGAUGAGUUAAAGCAACAAUUACCUGAGAAAACGCAGACAGCUUUACAUAUCCUAAUUUUGAUACAUGGCCAUCUGGGGUUUUGUGGGGGAUGAUAGCACUGGAUAUGGGGGAAAGCUUAAUAAAAUCACGGGAUAGUUUGACCUUCAAGAAGAUCGACAUGUUCCGUGUCAGCUCAUCAUAGACUAUUAUGAAGUGAGAAUCAAACAAAGCUCAUGCAUAUUAAUGCAGGACACUGCCAUCCAUUAUUUAUUUAAGAAGGUUUCUUCUUAUGGAGUCAUGAAGACAGCCAUUGCAUUCUGUCAUAAACCACUACCAACCAAUGGAUAUGUGAUGAAAAAAUACCUCUCUGAAACCAGAGUCACUUCCCCAAUCUGUUCCCUGGAUAAGAGAACAGUAAAUCAGUUAGGAAAUUCAUAUUUAUAGAGAAGAUGACAUAUCAGCACAAAAACCUAAAAUAAAAGAAAUACUUUUUCCCUAAAAAACAAGGGCACUGUCCAUUAGAGAACCAUAUCAGACAUCAAGUGUUAGAUACUUGUCCAUGCCACCAAAAUCACUCAAAAUCAGCGGCUAGAGAGAGGAAUAUUA
This 86585-nucleotide long non-coding RNA is filed under the name Vitis vinifera (wine grape). RNAcentral's name for it is "long non-coding RNA (VVIN_LNC002673)". Lineage: Eukaryota; Viridiplantae; Streptophyta; Magnoliopsida; Vitales; Vitaceae. The record is from RNAcentral.